AGGACUACCACUUUCUACUGGCUCUGCUCUGUCAACUCAUUCAGUAAUUCCCACUUCUGAGGUUGUCUCUGACUUCCGACUUCCUCGAAUAGUCUCUGUGAACUCAGGCUCUACCGCGCUACUACCUUAGUCGUACUUACUUGCUUCAUUAAGACCUCUGGGUACAACUAUGACUUGGUUCCAUUCUUACCUUGCAACGGGAUAGGAUAGGAUAGGACUGAACUUAGGAUGAAACUCAGUAUUCCACUAAUUCCCGUUUUUAGCUCGCUACCGCUACACAUUAGCAGUUCCUUGGUGCACUUAUCUCUUUCGAAACUAAAUCCUAUAUGAGAGAAUAUAUAAUUAAGUAGGCUUUCCUCUACUUUGUCUGUACUGAAAAGGGCCAAGCAACUUCUAAUGACCGCCAAGGCACUGGGCAAGUAACUACUAACGUUACGCGGCAGCAAUAAGAAGUAUGUUAUGACGUAGUUAUAACAAUUCCUUUGUUCGGGUGCCGCGGCAGGAGCUCUUGGACUAAUGUUACGCGGUAGCGAGUUCCAAGCGGCAGCCUUCGAGUUGUUUUCUGCUUUUUUUUCAUAUUUCUCAUUGAUUGUUUUUGCAAUACCCGACCCGACCUCUAAUCUCAUGUUUGAGCACCUGACCCGACAGCAGCUUACUUAAGCCCUUCCCUACUUUCAAACUGACACUCUUUUCUUGUAUCCUUGCUUAUUAGCUAGUAGGGCCUGCCUUGCCUAUCCGUACUCUUAGCUGGUAACUCCCGCCUUCUAGUGUUUAGCUACUGAUUCGGAUUCUUUAACCGGGACAUCCUUCUUACCAUUGACAUAUAACAUUAUGAGCCUACCCUCGCUAUUAGGAUCCAGCUAGCGCUAACAAUCCUUAUCCAACCAACCUGGGCUGCUUCACUGCCCCGGAAACAACUCUUGCUUGACUUUAUCUCCACCUUUGUCCUCUUGCUUUCAUUCCGUACAUCGAGUUGGAUUUUGACUAUUGGUGCUUUUAGUACGACUUUUGGUAUUCUGUUUACUUAUAUUUACUCUUCUAUGUUACUUAUGUGUUUUCAUAACACUGCUAAUGAGGCUUAGGGCAUACAAGGACAGAGCUAUUGCUGGAAAGAAUCAAACAAGUAAGUCCAAGAAUCAAAGCAGUAAGUCCAAGGCUACAGCUACAUUCCCAAAGACUUCAACCGGGUAGCCAAAGAGCGGAGCUGCUAAGUGAUAGACUGAAACAAGUGAGUUACAGAACCAAACCACUGCCGUUUAGCUCGCUACCGUUUUAGCUCAGGCUCCUCCGCGCCACGUUAGUAGUGGCUUGGUCAUGAGUAGUUGCUUGGUGGCUAUCCGACCUCUCCUCUUGAAACUGCCAAGCUACUACUUAGUGCUUAGUUGGAGGCUUGUCUCCUUUAUUACCAAGUCCUGUGUUCGUGAGCUAGCUAGUUAUUUGAGAAUUGAAAACAUAGCUAUUGAGUUUAGGUCUUGGUACUGAGAUAAGAUACUCUGGAUAAGGUUCAGAAGCAGAAGACUAAGUUGCAAAGAAAGGUGUUGUCGGUGAAGAAAGUGUAGUUGAGUGCUAAAGUAUAGAGUAAGGGGAGCUGUACCCGGAAUAGUAGAAUCCAUGUGUUAACUGCCUUUGAUGCGAGGUAGCUUCUAGCUAUAGUUUAGGAGUGGAGUAAGAGUGCCCACGCCUUUGUCUUGCAUGCAAGUGCUUUAAAUAGCUUGCUUCUAACACGGUCCUAUGUCCUUAUUGAAUUUAGUAGUACUGGCUUUGAAGCCCUAAGUGGUAUAUUGGUUCACUUGUAUAUAAUGUUACGCGGCAGUGAGCUUUUUGAAUGUCAUUUCCACUAUGAAACUAUACACACACUUAAGAAACCCUUACUCAUUAUAUAUUCUCUUUAGAAAGGAAAGGAUAACUGCUUCAUCUCGGCACCCCGACCCCUAAUAGAUUGAUUCGAUAGACCCCUUCUUCUUCAGAAGAAUCAAAAGAAUAAGAUGGAUCCGGUGUGGUCCAAGCAGAAAAGUAGUUCGAUUUCUCAUAUACUAACUCAGUACUAGUUAAGUAGCAAAAAACAUAGGAGAAUUUUCUCUCUCUUUAUAUAUGAAACCACUUCAGAAAGGAGAGUUGACAGUUGAGGUCUGUUAUUCAAGUCUAGUUCAAUUGUUUAGUCAGUGUAGCGGCAGGAGUCCCCGCACAAAGAUCAGAUAAAUGGGUCGGUCUAUUAGCGAAACACUUAGCUGGUUCUCUUGCCCAGUUACUUGGCGCUAUAUAAAUUCUAUCUGUUCUUAUAUAGGAGGAUGUGACCUGGCAAUCUGAAUGCAGUUAUAGGAGCAGAGUCAGAAGAGACCAGGCAGACAGGUUAUAAGUAGGUAGUCAGCUAAAAGCACUAGGUAGGCGAGAGGGAGAGUUAGUUCGGGUGUGAAGUCCAAUAACAUCCCUAUUCUCAGUACAAAAUAACAUCCCUAUUCUCUGUACCCCUAUUAGUAUUGACUGAGUUCAUGGUCGCUCUAAGACUGAGUUACUGGCCCACUCUACUCGAUGUGUUUGUGUCUCGCAUGUGUGUUGUGUGCCAUACUAGGGUUUGGUUUCAAUCAAUGGGUUUGUUGUGUGCCAGUAGGGGGUGCCUAUACUUACAAGUCAGAAUGAAACUAUUUAAUAGUAAAUACAGAAACAACUCCAAAAAGUAAUAGAAUGAAACAAAGUAGCCAAAGAGCGGAACUAGUGGGUAUAAGCUUCAAGCCAGGGGGCAGCUAGUAAGUAAAGGAAUGGAAGCAGUAGCUGGGAGAUAGAGCCAAGCCAGAGUGAAAAGACUAAGAGAAUGAGUUGGCGUGGGAAAGAAUGGAAUUUGCAGGGUUGAGAUAAGAUCUGAUGCUGCCGAGUGGGGGUUAUCCACUCCUAAUAGCUAGACACACUCUCUUUUCAGAAGCACCAAAAGAAACUCCCCUUUAUGAAUCGACUGACGACUUAAUAUAAGGGCAGCUCUCCCCCCAAAGGUUAGGCACGCUUACCAGGCACCAGUUGAUCUUACGAAAGAUCCAAUUAGGUUUUGACUCAUUGCUUCACACAAGUCAACCUUUCAUUCCUGAUAUAUAUGAAAAAGAUAGAGAUUCGGCAGCAUAGGUUCUACUACUUGCUUAAUUGACUACAAGUUAUCUAUUGACUAAUUGCUUCACACAUGGGUUAUACUACGGAGUGAAAUCAGUAGUUGAGAGUUUAGGCAGUAGAUCCCCUUAAGAGUUGAAUCCUUGUUUGUUGACGUUGAAUGCCCAGUUCCUGUUCUGGUGAUUGUUAAAUACCUUGUUUCAUAUCUAUAGCUUCAUCUGUUCUCUUAUAUAAGUCAGUUAGUGCUUAAGAAUCGGGAAUAGAAGAGAAGAGAAGUUUUAUAAGUAGCUGGGCCCUAGCUGCCCUGGUUAAGUCUAGUAGGGGCUUGGCUGUUGCAUCUAACACUAAGAUCAGAAUUGACCUCAGCAGUGCCUUAUUAGAAUUUCUUCAAGCAGUGCUAGUAAGCCUACCAAUCAGCAGUUACAGAAUUGCACUCCUUCUUUUGAGUCCUGUGUUCGGGGACCCAUGUGUUUCGUUAAAGAAUUCAUUUGAUCUAUCUCUCGCCUGACAAGGAACUACUGGGUCGAUAGAGUGGAAAGGAAAGUUCAAGUUGUUGACGACGAGCGGUGCGGGUGUCAAUUCCAAUAAUGAAUAUAUCAUAAUAAUAGAUGUGGUUUCAGACAAAAGUCAAAGGAGUGGUUAGUUGAAAGAGCAAGAUCAGAGGGAUAGGGGCAAGGCAAGUAGUAAAGGUAUCAACUCUAUGAUAUCAAGUACUUAAGGUAUUAAUUCUCCGAGUGGAUGCCCCAGUUGCAUUCUUGCCCUUACGUAUAUUACUGUCUGCGAGUUGCCAGUUUCCAUAGGUAGAAGAGAUGCUCUAGUCCAGAGGAUAGAUAGGGAAGGAAAUCAAUCAAUAAAUCAAUCCGAGGAAUGGAACUCCCCGAACUGCUGCCGCUACACAGUAGUAGUUCCUUGGCCCGCAUCUAGUAUACGCUUGCUUUCUUAUCUUUAGGAGUCCUGUGCCACUUAUAUAUCUGCCACUUUCGAGCAACACCACCUAGGGCUGCUAAUUCUCUUGUAGGCUUGAUUGGCGGGUUUAGUCUGAAGUUGCUAAGUAGUAGGCUUGGCGGGUAGAGCAGCCUUUUUUCACUCCUAUACGAGUGCUCCUAUACGAGUGGUCGGCUUUUCGCCCUUAUAUUAAGUGCUUGGCAGAAAAUCAAUGACGAGUGGUCGGCUUUUCUACUUACUUGGCAGAAAAUCAAUGAUCAAAUUCGAAAGAAAUGCAAAAAACACGAAAGAGCCAAGCAACUAAGUAAGACGGCCAAGUCACUGCUAGGUUAAUGCUUUACGGAACAAGCAACAACAUCAGCAGUAGAAAGGUGUUCUGUUCGGGUUGAAAGAUCAGGAUCCUUAUAAGAAGUCGCAGAAAGAUCAGGUAAAGCUGUAAUCGACGAAGCGGGAUAGGAAAGUAACGUUUGAGCGGAAUCAUAUCUCACUUUGACUUACUUUGAAGCAUAAGCUGUAUCAUAAGUAGUAAAAGGGAAGGAAGCUGGAUAAGGGUUAGGAAGAAAUUGAUGUUUGACUCGGUCCUCGGCGCACUACAGGAAAGAUUCCUUAGUUUGCUGGGAUUCGCUUACAUAGGUACUUCUCGAUAUUAGGAAGGGGAAUCCAUUUCUUUUAAGGAAGUACUAAACUCGUGUACGGGAAUCGAAGUGAUUAGAACAGAACAGAGCGCGAAUGAAGAAGCACAGACGCUAUUCGUGGACAGAACAACGGGGAAAGAUGGAGGAAUGGUUUACCGACUGUAUCCUUUACAUUCAUUUAUUGCAUACCGUCUUGCUCCUGUUUACCUUACUAUUAGCUGUACAUCUGUUAGCUUUCCUUCUUUCCGAAUGGUUUAUAGUGCAAUUCCCUGCUAUGCUCAAUCAUAGGUUUUUACGAAAUAGUUGUCUGUCUUUUCCUGUACUUAGGUUUAUACGAAAUUCCAUAGUUGUCUUUUUUUCCUGUACGCCGAUGACUUUUUAAUGAAGAAGGGGGCCUGGCCUUGACUACUAUUAAAUGAGGAAGGGCUUGACUACUAUUUCAUAAAGAAAAGGGGGACUGUUCACAUAUUCUACUGGUUUAGCUUACUCACGACUUGAAGAAUGAAUAUCGGAGCCUCACCUCUGAUCGCAUCACCCUUUCACAUAAAGAAUUCCAAUCAUGCGUAUCAAGCACUUGGCAUCGCCAGUAGUAAAGACACUGCACUGAACAAGUGCCUUUCUUUGAAAUCUGACCGGCACUGAUUCUGAUCCCGCUUAUGGAACAAGUAUUGAAACGGACCUUACCGCGGACUUUCGCACUGCAGAUUAUAUACUUGAAAGAACGAAUUGAUGCUGCCCGAGUUGUUUCAUUGAGUGCACUGAUCAUAUAAAGAAGUCACAGCACUCCUUACAUUAAGAACAGAACAAAUAGGCCCGAACUGAUUCACUUUCUUACCCUUAAGCAACACAGUAACCUCCUUUUCCAUUACUUGUUUAUGGCUUAGAGCCAACAACACCCUUUCUGUUAGCGGGUGAAACCUCGGAUUCCUCUUCCGCUAGAAUGACUUUCUAUAUAGAAAUACCCCUAUUCCCUUCUUGUAAAGUCAACUAAUCAUUCAUUGAAUCUAGAGUUUCGAGCACUUUGCAUAGAAGCUAGUAUCGACACUGAGAAAGUGCUUUCUUCGUUGGGAGCUGCACCUCUAAGCUCUAAAACGGGUUCUGCUCCAUCAGUAGACUCUAAUGUUCUCUCUGCUGACUCUAAAGAAUAUGCACCUCAUAUGAUAGAAAUGGGUAAACUAACUCCAUUACUUCCCGGAAGUGUGAGAAUACCGGCACCCCCAAGAGAAGAGAUCAAGUUGAAGCGUUAGCACCCGACCCUAUUGCUCCCUUACUAGAUUGCUCAUGGAAAGUGGAUCAAGAGAAGCGGUUUCGUCUAAAGGAAGGUGGUGUCCAAGCCUAAUACUAUAAAUAAGGGGUGAAAGCUCCUUACGUGGUCCAAGCAAGCUGAACUAAUUAACACACACACAACCACCUCCUGGCUCAUAACUCUAACACACACCCAUCUCCUCUCCUGGCUCUAAACUAAACCUUCUCUUUUGCCUUCCGUCCCAACUCUAUAAAUGUGCUAAGUACAGUACAGAAUACAAGUGGAGCUAGAGCAAACAUGUAUUUCUUAUUUCAAAGCUCCGAGCCCCGCCCGAACCAAUAAAUAGCGUUAGUAGUCACUCUGCAUCUGUCUUUAGAGUAUGGGGUUCCUCUGCCUUUCGUGAGUAAUCUAUAAUAUAGGAUGAACUAGUGGAGUUAUUAAGCAAAGCCCUUUGUUGACUCUUUUCUCACAUUUGUGACUCGGAUCUAUACUAUCAAGCUAAAUGAAAAUGAAUGGACCAAGCAGACGCCAAGUAACGUAGUUAGGCUAAAACUCAUAAUGUUAGUUAGUUCGGUGCCCUUAUGGAGUCCACCAAGCUUAGUAUAGACAAGUAACGUAGUUAGGCCAAACAACUAUGCAAGAUGACAGCUCGCUUAUAAUAGUACUUAAAGCGAUCGAUGAGCUAAACAGAGGAUCCCUAGUUGCUACGAAACAUAACAGGAACAUUACUAAUACUGAAAGACUUCAAUCGAUGAACUCCUUGCUGCAUCGAUGCUCGAGGAAGGAAGAGCGGGAUGAGUGCCAACUAAAACGACUAAUGCUAAUGGAAGCCACUUUCUUGCUCCUGCAACUCUCGAACUAGAGGAAGGAAAGCGCUAUACCCACCCUCGUUCGAGGAAUAGCAUAUCAGGUUCGUUUGGGAAAUCGGGAUUAUCGGGGAGCUUACCUGAUAGGGGAUUCGAUUCAUAUCUAUCACUGACUUCAGACCAACUCGCCGCUAUUCCUAAAGUGUUUGUUAAAGCAGAUCAGGGAAUACUCAAGUAUUUGGAUGAAUGAAUUGAGGUAUGUCUCGAAGUUUGACUGUUUGACACUCUCUCUUUCGAUGUCUUCGAUUCCGUAACCAUUCCAUAAUAAUUGGGUAAGCUGCGGAGGUUUUUUGUAGUAGUAUCCCGAAAUCUCUCGAUAAGAAUUCGGUGCUAUUCGUCUGUCUAUAAAGAGUGGAUCAUGGCCAAAUGAGCAGCAUCAAAGCAUUAAAACGAAGGAAUAAGGAGUCCCCGUCCAACGGAGCACUAAGAAGCAAGUCCUCCUGAGAUGGUAUGCUAAGUAGUAGGUUUAAUAUAUUCAAGUGUGCCGCUACUUUCUCUUAAGGUUCAGAACACGAACAGAAUCUCGACAUCAAUUAGAUCAACAAAACCAAACCAUUGCCUGACGUGAACAGAUGCUUUCUCAUUAUACUGUUAAUACCAUAGAUAUCUUCUUUGUUCUCAAGCGAAUCCUAACUCUUUUCGCAGCUUUCUUUUCUUCUCUUAUUCCAUUUAUUGUUUGUGAUCGAGGGCGGUACACUUUUCCCCAAUAUGAGAGAGUUUUGCAGCUAUAGUCAGAAUGGCAACAGGGCCAGCAGCAUAGGCGAUGAGGGGAACGAACGGAAAGGCAGGCCCACUUGGAUUCGAGGUUUUUCCUUUACACGGGCAUACCCUUUCCUCUACACCGAAAUGAGUUUCCUCUACACCGAAAUGAGUUUCAUGCUAACACAGCAGCGCUGAACUCGUUUUUGCACCUCUAAAUAAUAGCUAUCAACUUCCAGGCCCCGUCUGCUUUCGGCCCGAACCCCAAGCCGGUGAAGUAUUGCCAGAGCCAAGGGAAUGGUCUUUUCUUAUAGAAAGUCUACGUUGGGCUAAAUCCUUUUAUAGACGAUCGUACUUCCUUAUGUGCUAAGAUAUCUUUUUGCGCAGAAUGAAGUGUUACCCAAGCCCCCGAUCCAGAUAUAGAAAGUGUGCCGGAGAAAAGUUCGAAUAAGAGAGGAGUUAGAAUCUGAUUUCUCUCUCUCGGCUUCAGCUGCCUUAUCAUAGGCUAUGGGCCGAAUCGUCUUAUUCCAAUCCCAUAAGGAAAAAAGAGCCGAAUCAUCCAUCUUCCGUUAAGCUUCAAGUACUAGUGCGGAUAUCAAUGUCUUCAUCUCAAGCUUUUUGGGUUGUGGUGGGAUAGAAUCAGAUUAUUAAGUAAGUACCCGAUUCCGGGGAAUAAGGUUGUGCCAGAAUAUAGCUACCCGAUUCAUGAACAGAUGCAUUCUAUACUUAAUGAUAAGAUCUUGCAGAUGCAUUCUAUACUUAAUGAUAAGAUCUAUCUGGUACGCUGAGGGGUUCCCAUGAAGAAUCAGAGCUAAAGUCAGUCCUAUGUCCUAGCAUCGGGCGGGAAAGAAAGCCCUUACUAUGCAAGCACUGUGCCCAGCGUUUAUGAAUCUUCUAUCAGGUUGGAUUUCGACCCUUAUGAACCUGGCACCUCUCUUACAUAAAGCAAUAAAGCAGAAGCUAAGGAAAAGGAAUUGGAUGGUAUUACUCUAUCGUUGGGCCUACUCCAUUUCAAAGGUUAGUGUGCGUAGAGAUUACUUCUGUCAAUAGGCAACUGCAACUCAUGAAUAUAAUCAACCUCACUCCAGUAGACGUCGUAGUUUAGGACAUAGCUACGAGAGAAAAGAAAUAGGACCUUGCGUCUUUACCUGCAAAUGAGGCCCAAGUUCAAUCCGAAUAAGCAGUGAAUUGGCUUUCUCUCUUGAUCGUAGAUAUUGAUGUGUAAGGUAGUUACAGGCCGAAGACAACUACAAUAAGAAACAACAUCAAGUAUAUUUAUGUUGAGCUAUGCCUUAAGAUGUGUUCAGGCGCGGCAGCGAGUUUUAAGCUGCGCGGCCCCUCACAUUCAUUUGGUGCCUUGACUGCCUAGCCCUAUUCUCUGAUAGUUCAAGCUGAGAUAGUGGAAUUAGAUGUCAUGUCAGUUCCUAUAGCAGACGCCUUCUUCCCAAACCCCUUCUUUUCCUCUUAUUCUAUGUUCUUUUCUUGCCUUAGAUCAAUCCCUUCUGCACUUUGUCCUAAAAUGCAUAUUCUCAAGCAGGGGAUUCGUUAAUAGUAAGAGCGCAUUCCUUGUCCCAUUCAAUGCAAUACUUUACUCUUUUCUUCAAGGUUUUGCUUGUAUUUUCAUAGAGUAAGUGUAGUAAUCACUCUAUAGUAAAGGCACUCGAUUAGCUGGCAAAAGCGCUCUUCUUUCCUUGUGAUUUGAUAUAACUCGGUCGAACUAAAUGCUAUUCUUUUGUGCCAAAUGUGGUAAACUCGUGGUAUCGUAUAUAAAGAACGGUUCAAUUCUGGAGUUUUAGGAGUGGCUCGAUCAAACUCUCAAUUUCAGAAGCCAAUUCUUUGGAAGUUGUGAAAGGGCAGAGUUCCAUAUUGACAUUUACUGCGAUAAUGUUGCAAGGGCGUUCGGGUGGAGUUAAAGCGAAAGGAUAUCAAGAGAGUUAUUAGUGGUAUUAUGAAACGUAAACUAACUAAGUACAUGAUAAGCUUGAAUCUUCCUACUCUUGUUAGUGGGGACAGAGCAUCCUAUUGAUUAUCGUCUCGAGCUCCCCCUUUCCGGGUGGACGAGCCGAGUUCGAAAUCACCUCAUCGGAACCCCACUUUAACUCUUCGCUGGUUUGAGAUCUACUUCGUUAGUACCAGUCGGGAAUCGGGAAACCUCAUGAGCGGUACACCUUCCUUAUAAGAAAGAGAUAAGACCUAUUACUCUUGUCCCUUGCUGUGGGACUAGGAGCAGCUAUUGCUAUGUCAUCCCCAACUGUUAGCUCAGUUAGCGCAAAGGGAAUGAAAGCAGUAACUUCCUGAGUUAGCUCUUAAGAUGUUGAAGGAACAAGCUUAGCAGUUAGCUCCGCUCGUGGCAUAGCUCUGAGUAGUAGUAGCGAUCGGUCGCCGUUCACGACUCCGAUGUUAUCGGGUGCAGAUGAACAAGCGGUGUGAUCUUUUCCAAUGAAUACCAGACGAGGAGUCAAUUAUUGUUGAGUGAAAUGACAUGGCACGGAUCUGUUUAAGAUUCAACAAAUAAGAAGCUGGCUCUUGACCUUAUUCCAUAUGCCAUGGUAUCAGCCGUCGGUGGUUUACUAAGUAUUAGCCCUUUCACAAGGGAAUUCUCUUUCUGAAAGAACUCCGAGUGAAGGUGGCUGCUUUGCUUCUCGCCGGGACGGAUUUGACCUUUCAACCAAAAAGGAUUGGAUGCUAUUUCUUCUUUCCGGGCUUCAGCCAGUAGCACUUGUCAAGCUGUAAAGAAAGGGGAGGAAGUAGCAUUUUCCCGGACUUCCAAUCCAAAAGAAGAAGGACCAGGCCCCAAAAUGAUGUAGCCCAAGGAGACGAAUAGUCCAGAAAGGAAAGGCUAUUGGCUCAUUGACUUCCGGUUUACGAUUCAAUUAGUCUCUUUCAUUUUGAGCGAAGAACUAUUAACCAUGCAAGGAAUAGCUAGCUAAAGUAUACAAGGCAAUCCUCAAAGACAGCGGUUGACCUUAAAGAGUUGUCAAGGGCUGGUUACUCUCUUUUCGACUUUUUAAGGAAUGGUUUCCGCUCGAGUCGCUAAGGGCUUUAGCGGGUUCGGGUUACUUUCUUUCUAGUAGUCCUGCCCGGAAGUCCAUUUUCCCUGCCUAGCAACAAAAACAAAGGAAUUGCUGAAACUUGUAUAGUUGCUUGGAGGGCAAUGAACUACUUUCCCGCUGACUUCAUACUAAUACUUUCGCCGCGAAGUCUGUGCUUUGCACUCUUCCUAGAAUAGCUCAAUUCCCUGUUGGUAUUCUAGUAAGUGGUAGUUGGGUUCCGAGUGGUUUUCUUCAGUAUUGCUACCGGUGGCUGGAUCCCUAUAGGGUGGUUAAGUAUUAGAAGUGGCUGUUGGGUCCCCAGUUUCAAGUUCCAGUUUCGUUGGUAUGAGUUUAAUGGCAAGUAGCCUAAUUCUUCCUUUAUAGGUUCUUUCUUAUGAGUUUGCUUAUUAGUUUGAUUCCCGAGUUCAAUUCACUGUUUCCAUUGUAAAUAUGUAUUCUUUGGUUCAUUCUUCCCAGUAGCCGUUCCAGUCUUUCUUUUGCUAGUCUCAAUUACAAGUUUCGAAUUCCAUUCUAUAAGAGUAGGUGGGGCCCCUUUAGUGAUAGAGAAUGACUGUAGUGAUAGAGAAUGACUGUAGUGAUAGAGCACCUUGCAAUCGAGAAUAAGUGCUAAGUAAUAGAAUCGUAGGGUCCAAAAAAGAAAUAGAAUCAUUUGUGAAAAAGUCAGUUUCGGGGCACCUCUUCAGGGAACCUCGCAUCAAAGCAAGAGUCAUAGUCAGAAAAUAGUAAUAAUAAUCAAAGUAGUACGCCCAGAGUCCUAUAGUUGUCGGGCCUCUCUGAUUCUUUCCUCUUAUCUGUUUGUUCGUGAAGUCACUUCGUUCAUAUCAAUGGUUGUUGUGCUAGGGUAGGGCUAGGCUAGCAUCGUUCGUAUCAAUGUGGCCAGAGCUAGAGGUUGGGCAAGCUGAUAGACGAGGUCGUGCAAGCUGAUAGACGAGGUCGUGCAAGCUGAUAGACUCAAAUCAAUCCCUGUUCGCUCAAGCUUAUAGACUCAAAUCCAUCGAGGUCAGGCAAGCUUAUAGACUUCAAUCAAUGCCUGUGCGAUCCUAUUUCGUUAAUCAAUCCCUGUUCGACUUGCCUCUGUAUUGGUUUACUUGACAGCUUUUCCUCUUGGGGCGUUAUUUACUUAUUAUUGGUGUCCAUUUACUGAUAUUUAGAAUAAGAUCUAGCGCAUACAAGCAAUAGAAUACAACUAAGACUAACAAUACUUGAACUGGGAACUAAGAAGCAAAGGAAAAAGUAGCACACUUGAACUCGAAACGGCUACCCUACCCGCGUACCGAGCCACAUUGCAGGAAUUAGCUCACUAUUACAAUAAACGAUUUCAAGAUCUAGGAGUUGUCUUCUCUCUAUCACUCCUUUGGAGGAAAGACCGGUCAUUCUCUAACGCGAGACAGAAAGCAAAUACUUGAACAAAGAAGGUUGGCAGCGAGUCAACAUAUAGGUUAAGGAAUGCUAUUAAGACUCUAUUUAGCUACAGCCCUUAUGGAGCUCCAUUAAGCCAAGCAAGAAGCCAAUUGCGGCCAGUAAGUAUAGUAGCGCGGCUAGCUCAAUAGCUGAUAGAGAUGCAGCCUCAGAAGCAGAAAGAAAGAUAAAGAGACUAAAGGAUGAAAAGCAAGGACCAGGAAACCAAGAAAGAAACCAAAAGAAUAAUAGGCUUGUCAGUAGCUCGCUAAGUCAUUUGCCCUAGAGCCCUAGAUCCUAUUUUCCAUUAGAUUCUUUAGUGGGCAUUCCUCUUAGUAAAAGGGAGAAGAAAGGGGACAGACCUUAUGCUCCAUCCCCCUAUUAACAGACAGACCCACUCCUCCUUAUGCUCCAUCUCCUAAUUAAUAGUAGACUUGUGGUGCAAUUGCUAAUCAGUGGCUUCUAAGAAAACUAGAGAAUUGAGCCUACCCAUCGCCUCUGAUAUUGAAGCUUUAUUACUGGGCAAGCAGCUCCACUCCCAAUGGCAGGCCUCCCUGAUGACUUGUAGUUCUCAACUGGGCUCUCAGGAGAUCGAUUCCCUUCCGAGCCAAUGCAGAUUGGUGCAGAUAGGCGAAUAGAGUCCACGACGCUUUAUUCAGCCUUUUCGAAAAUCCCCACGUAAGUCCACUUUUGGCCCCACGUAAGUCAACUUUGGGCGAGAUCCACUUACUCUUCUCGGUCUCGGAGAAUGCUUGACAAAUUCUAUGGAAAUUGAAAAAGUAUCUUUGAAACGGAAAUAAAGACUGCUAGUCAUUACGCCUAGAGGCUACGGCUGUCAGUAGAAUCUGUGACCUUCAGGAAUCCAAUAAAAUGAACUGUCAUUCUCCUCUGGCUAUUCAUUCCUUUAUUAGCUUAGCUAGCGUUCUUCCACUUUAUUCCCUAAAUAAGCUCUUUUCAAACAUAAUAUGGGAUUCUUUAGGAACCGGGGUUGAAAACUUAGCCGGGACAUUGAGUCUACAAUCUUAUAUUAUAUAUCUAACACAAGCACCGAACAAGCAACUGACCAACCUUAUCCGAUUAUUCUGUUAUGAUAUAGUAUUUGGUCUUAGUGGCUCAUAGGCAGAAAAGGAAGUACUACUUCUAAUGUUAAGGUAAGUGUCUUGUCUUGCUAUCAGUUGUUUCAGUCACCAAGUAACUACUAAUGUUACGACCAAGCAACGGGAUGAGCUACGUAGUAGCGAAUGAAAAAGCGAGACGGCCAAGACACUACUAAUGUGUUGCGGCAGCCCAAUAAUAGUUAUAGGAAGUUAUAAACAAGUCUUGUGUUCAGGUAGCAACAAUAAUAGAUAUUACGAGUUAUUACAAUAGAUGUAUUCUGGAGCUGCUGGUUAGCUCGAUUCUCAGUUUGAUUCUUGGACUUACUAGUAGGAUUCUUUGACUACAGGAGUAGCUGUUUUAUACAAUCUUAACAUAGGCUUUCCUACAGAUUCAAAUGCUCCCACACCAGUAACCAACAAAGCUUCCGCCUUCGCUAGCGUUUUCCUUUCCAUCGUUAAGGUAUCUGUCUUACCUUGCAAAACCUCAGUCCUUAUCCGGUCAAGGUUCUAUGUCAUUUACUUUCAAACAUCACUUCUAUCUUUUCCUCACCAGCAGAGGUUAUCGAAUACCGGGUAAAGGUUCAUCGCAAUUAGGAGCAAUAACUCUUAUACAAAGUGCAACUCUUUGACGGCUGUAUUAGUCCCGUACUUCCUUCAGGGAGGUAUAACAUGAGAUUCUUGCUUUUCUCUCCUCGGGAAAGGAGCGGGUAGCCACUAAUUCGAUUAGGGCCAGCUGCUCCACAGCCUAAGGAAGUAACUAUUUCCCUACUAGCAGUGACUAGCCUUUUUUUGAAGGACGGACAGGACGGUUUCAGGCCUAAGAACGGUUUCAGACCAAGAGUGAGAAGGAGAAUUCCCGAGAAAGCGGCAUUCCUCCAAUGUGCAGUUCUUUUCUUGGUAAAGGCAAGGCUCGAGAGACCUCGAGUUAAUUCAAUGGCCCUUCCUAGGACACAAAGGCGGACUCCCUAGCAAGUCUCUUCUCUGUCUUUACCAGAACCAUCAGAGGAAAAUCCAUUACGCUUACGGUCUAUGAGAAAAGAAUCCUGCCAUCACUCUUAAGACCUAUGUUUUAGGCUAAACAACUAAGAAAGCAAGCAUUGAAGGACGCUCACCGAGUGCUUCUAUAAAAGGAAGCUAUCGAGAGGGAAAGAGAGGAAAGGAAAAAAAGCAAUGACAUUCAUCCCGCUUUGAUUUCGAGAUGGUAGUGAGGAAGGCUCGAUGUCAUUUAGUCUUUCGAUGUAGUUUCAAGUCAUCUAGUUGGGCGUUUUCGGUCCAGAGGUAAACCCAACAAAGGCGCUCUGUCCUAAGAGUUUUAGAUCCAGUUACUGUGGAAGAUCUGGCAUAACCUGAAGAAUUGCCUAUCCCUAGAAGAAAGAAGUCAAAUUGUGGACUAGGCAUAAGCGGUGGUUGCAUACCCCAUUGGAGUCUUGACCUACCCCGAAAACCCUAAUAAAAAGCUUACCAAGUUUGGGUCUUCUCUAGUAUGAGUGCAAGCCCCCAUCCAAAAAGAAAGCAGAGAAAUGCAGAAGUGACGUCCAAGCCCGUGGUCGUAAUGCCGCCUCCACGCAAGCCCUCGUGAACCGACCUCGUCCGCUCGGAAGGACACAAGCGCUUAAUCAAAAGAAUCCACUCUCGGUAACAUGAUCGAAGUUCGAUCCACCACUUUAGGGAAAGAGACGAGCUUAUAUAUUCAAUAUUAGCAAACUGCCUUUCAACAUAGGAGGAAUCACUCACGGACAGACAAGAGACAAUAGGUCGACAACUUUAAGCUAACCCUACCUUGCAGUCGUAUCGAAUGGGGGGCUUUUCUCGUUUUUUUCAUCAAUAAUUUUGUAUUUCUCUUUUUUGCACUCUUUCUUUUUUCUUGAAAUUCUCCUCUUCACUCUUGCCAACCAUCUUUCGAACGAUUGAGAGUAGGUCUAGCUGUUAUGAAGGGUCUUAGAGGUUACUUUAUUCACCCUCUUAAGAUCCGAAAUAUCUAAGCAAGUCAGUCUUUGUUCAACAGAACUGACACGGGCCCUGCUACUAAUAAUAUGAUAUAGGAUUGCGCACGUGUACCUUACUCUCAGAGUCCAAAAACAUAAGAUUUCUAUAAUAAGACAGCAGGGGGGAAUAACCCGGUCCAAUAGAAACAAUCUUUCCCCAGCCAGACUGAGUUCUUCCAAUAGCGCAUAUCAUGCUUUCUCGUCGAAGAUAACUUCAUCAUUUGCUCUAGUCUAAAUCAAAACUUCAUUGAAGAAUCUAGAAAAUGCUAUCCCAGUAAACCCUUGGGGAAACUAACAAUCGAGGAUGCCCAUGUUGACUAUAUUGAAUAAUACCCUAGUGAUUUAACCCACUGGUGGCAUACCCCAAAAGCGGAUAUAAGACCCAUUCUUUCCAUCAUCAUCAAUGAUAGGGAAAAUAAGAAAGUCAAGAUGAAAUUAGUUUCGAAACGGAACCAUCUACAACAUCAGGCAGAACCCUCUCUUAAGGCUUAACCUUAUCGGCAAUAAGACUGAUUGGAAUAAUCCUUAAUGAAAGUGAUUACUAUUUCUGCUUUCGCGGCGUCUGAAAGUCUUUGAAAGGGUGCUUUUGUUGCGGUAUCUGGAAGCUCUGCGUCGGUUAAAUGGUUCAAUUGUCUUUCUACUUUCAUCGAGAAGCUCUUUUCUUUUAUCAUGCGAAUCUCUCUACUGCUAAGGUGGAGUCUAAACUGCGAUUGAAUGCUCAUAUAAACUGCGGAAGUAAAGUAGAAAGGUAUCUCGUAACGUUUCAAGUAUAGUAUCUGGUUGUUCAACCCCCGUCCACUCUAUCACUUACAGCCCGGUAACAACUCUAUCACUUACAGCCUCGGCGCCAUAAACAAGUGUUGUUGCAGCUGUCUGAAAGUGGAGUCUCUUUGGGUGCUGCUAACUUUAAUGAGAUUCCCUCUGGCGUCCUUGCUUGUGCGAAAGCGGUUAUUGCUUUUGGCCUAUGAUUGAACAAAUGAACCUAACAACACAGCGGACUCCCAACCUUAAUCCAGCAUAUCAGCAGUCGAACGCUUCACUAUGAGGACAGAGAGGCACCGCUAACAACGAGGACAGAGAGGCACCGAACACUAUUGACACUUUUUUCUUAGAAAAGAGAAGAGCCAAGCUACUAGGCAAGUCACUAAAGCUUCAUAUCUUGAUACUGUUCUCGAUCUUUCUACUGCUUCAACAAAUUCUUAAAGAAGAACUUCUGGCACAAUACUUUUCUCUGGAUCUGGAACUCGACUUGCAACUUUACCUUUAGUGGCGCAUUCGGCUUCUGACACAAUACUGGAAUCUGGGCCAAGUAACUACUUUUGUUAGCUUCCAAGCCUUAUUAUCUACCCUACUGGCCAAGCCCCUUAUUAUUGACUAUAUCGCUGCCCAAGCCUUACUUGUUUGUUUGCUGCCUCCAAGCCAUACUCUUUUGUUUGAACUUCCAAUGCCUAGGUUGUCUCUCACUGGCCGCUCUCUGACUCUUUGACUCCGCUCUCAAUGCCGAUGUUUUUGUAUUCCUUUCAGGGCUAUCAUUCUGUGACUACUAACAAAAAGUAUGCCACGACUCCAUAUAAGCACUACGCUCGUUAGCUACAUUACCUAUCUCUUAUCUAAACACUCACUCCUGUCUCUCAGAAAGUACCAAUUCAAAUGCUCCAUGGAGAACCCCCAGUUUCUUGUUUGUUCCCGUCCAACUCACCGGGAGAUCGAAGAGCGGUUUGCGCUUCGCGCCCCAACCCCCUGAACUAAUAGAUGCUUAGAUACCAGACGGAAUCUGGAAGCUAAGCUAAGGAUGGACGAGAACAGCUAAGAUAAGAAAAGAAGACAAACAGAGGUAGGAAGGUGGACUAACCUUAACCAGUCUAUUGCCUUCCCUUUCGACUUAUAGACUUGUUCGUCGGCGGGCAAUUUAGUAAGAAGAGCCAAGAUCCAAUUCGUAAAUAGCAGAUGAACCUAUCUUAAUAUUGAUUGAAGUUGCCGGCGAACUUGAAAGAGCUUUCUUUCCUCUCACUAAUAACCCCUAGAGCAAUAAACAACAUUAAGAAUUAGUGGUUGAUAUCCGCGAAUAUGUCUUCCUAGAAUCCUGAUGCCGAGAAUAGGCGGUGAAGGUAUAAGAUCUCAAAUCCCAUCAUGAGGCUUCGGUGAACAAGAGAAGAUCAAAUUGCUCCUCUUUCAGGAUUGCUUGUGGGGACUUUUCCCCAAGCUCCUUCUUGACUACUUGAUUGUAUACAUAAUUAUUAUGGUUCUGGUACAUUAACAUUAUCGUAGUUAUUCGAAAACAAAGGUACUUUAUUAGAGUGGAAAGAUCUUAUCUUUGUUUAUAGCAUAUGUUUGUCCGAAGGAGAAGGAAAGCAUAAGAAGGGCUAUUGGCACAGACAUGGAAAUGGCCGCGGUGGAAGCAGACGCAUCUUACGCUGCAGGCUUGAUCCCGACUCUCUCAAUAUGUGGGUAUACUCAUAUGAAUUUCCAUUUGCAUUCCACUACUCUAUUGUCUAGUAUCCUAAGAGACAUAUACUGCUGAUUCUGUUACUGCAACACGAGAACCUCUACCCUCUCCACUGAGUAUUAGUACUCACACAAGAACUUUACUUGCAUUGCUUAUAACAAGCACCCGACCCGAACUCCAUUUAAAGAACCAACACCAGGUCAGGUAGUUCUUUCCAAUUCUUGCUUUUGUAGGUCAAACUAACUUUAGCUAGACGAAGAAAGGACACUGACACUGGCCGACAAGGAGCUAGAGCCUUAAACACAAGCAUUCGAACGUGACUUUCCUGGACCACACCUCGCAUCAAAGCAUGUAAGAAAGUCUGCCCUAAACAAAACUUCCUUUCCCGUCUCGUAAGCGCACUGAGUCUUCUGUUUUGGGGCCUAUACUAGGACUUUUUUCUUGCACCGAGGAAGAGUCAAACAUCAAUCUUAAUUGUUAAUAUAUGUCAUAUAAAGAAAGUGGGAAUUUCAAUUGACGGAUGCUAUAUAAGUUAGGGAUUUCAUAACCUUUCCUUCUGCCUUCUGUUAGCGCUAGUACUUGUUUUAGGAGUUAAGGUAAGUAAGAUAGAUAUUCCUAUGUAUUGUAUAGGCUAUGUCUCCUACUCUAGGGCUCUCUUUGUAAAGUCAUAUAUAUAUAUAUAUUCCUAUUCAAACUAUGUAACUCCACUCUUAUACAAAUACUAUUCAUUCUAUGUAACUAAUGUAACUAAUCCUUGUGCCUAAUGCGCUAUAUCUAUCCCUAUGAAUUCUGAGUAACUAAUACUUACUUGUCUUAUACUAUCUUAUACUUACUUGUCUUAGUAGUACCCUAUUCUUAUACUAUAUUCUGACUUUCUAUUCUUACCCAAUUCAUAUACUACUUACUAUUCAUUUACUUACUUGCUAUAUUAUUACUAGAUCGUACCUUCUUCUUAGUAUACUUAUUCAUAUACUUACUAUUUCUUUCUUCUUCUACUCUAAUGCGCUAGCAAAUUCUGUAUUCUGGCCCGGUAGUUGAUCAUUCAAUUCUAUCUAUAGGAUUAUAGGGACUGUUCUACUUUCAAGAGGAGUUGACCCUAGGUUCAAGUUAGCAAACAGGGUAAUUGGCUCUGUGUUGGGAGUUCGGGCAAGAACAAGUGUGUCAGUGGCUAAAGCGUCAGUUCCAUCUUCUACUGCUAUCCGAUCUUAAGCUUCUGCGCUAAAAGGAGAAAGUCUUGAUUCAAUUCAUUCUGCCUAAUAAACUAGUGCAUCAGCAAAAGUGCAUUCUUUUCCUACAAGAUUCUCUUCAUGUGGAGAGUCAAACUCGGUAUAAGGGGAAGUUUCUCAGUGACUUUUAUCUAUUAGCAGGAGCAGGGGAAUAAACAAGGUCGGUCGGAGUGCCUAUCUUCAACAAGACUCAGUGCGGCAAAAGGUUAGUGUUUCCCUUUACUUUGCUUUGGAUAGAUCCUUAUUUUCUCUUUCUUUUGAGAAUAUACUCUUUCCUUGUUCGAGCGGCAAGGCCCGGAUCUGAUGGCUCCCUUUAAGUCCUCAAAGGUUUCUUUACAUUCUCUCGUCGAAUGCCAUGGUCUGUUCUUCUUCUGGAGAUUAGUCAAAGGCAAAGGCCCCACACGAAAAGCCUUGGAUGAACCUACGACCUGGCCAAGAAAAGAUCGGAACUUAUAUACCUUUUGGGGGGGAUGCCAUUCCUAUAUGGCCUUAACCUUAUCAUUGUCCAUGCAAAUGGUACCUCCCUUGAUCCGAUGUCCAAGGAACAAACAAGACUCUUAUGUUCCGGGCGAUGCGGACGGGCCCUUUGAUAACUAAAUGAAUUGGACUCCUAAUCACACUUACACGGUCGUGAGUAUGACUGCUAGCGUUGAUGCCCACAAUCGGAUGCUCAAGAAUAAGCCAAUAACAAUAGAAAGGGCAGGGACUUCUGAGACGCCUGUUUGAUAUAAGGGCGAGUUUGCAAGCUAAGGGCGAGACAGAUAUUUCAGAUGGGACUUUUCCCUUAUUCUGACUUCUUUGCACUAGUCUCAUGGCAAUAUCUCUUUAGCAUCCCGACAUUCCUUAUUGCCCUAACACAAGGCACAUAUUUGUAGCCUAUAAAAUCAAGGAAAGGAUGAGCUUUGGGGACAUUCCAGCUUUCCGGCUUUACUGCUUUAGUGCUUUACUGUUUGUUACACUUUCUUCAACUUACGAUUAGGGGAUCUCAAUAACACAGAAAUGUACUUCUCCAUUAGGGUCUUAUCCUUUAUCUAGAAAAUGGGAGAGUCUCAUAGGCAAUAGGUUAUGCUUUGGCGCUUUCUUUACUAGCCCUUAGAGCCUGUGGGAAUAGCUGUCAGCCUAUCACCUAUAAAGUCAAGAGUGCAUUUACCUAUUUAGAGUACCACUAUCAUUAGUAGAGGGAUCAGACUUAGCUAAAAGAGACAAAGGCUCGUAGGUAGUAGUAAAAGAAAAUGGUAUUCCAGAAGGGCAGGCUAACUGGCGGGAGCUUUAAGUUGUAAUCAAUAGAUAAGGGGAUUGAGAUCAGUAAGGGCAAGGCCUAUUUCCUUGUUUUAGGUGAAGUGUAACAGCAGUGAAAGUAUCGUACCCCGGAGUAGCUCCAUUCCAAUAGUAAGUAGCUCAAGAGCCUGUUGCCGGUAGCCCAAUCCCCCGUUUCGAGUUCAUUUCUUUAGUCCACACAAAGUGCAAAGCCUUAUUAGCAGUGAUUGCUGGUCUUGCUAGCACCAGUCCAAGUCCUCGAAGCUGUACCUUAUCUGGUAUGCCCAAUUUCCAUUCUUAUUGAGAGUAGCAAAAGCCCGAGUUCCAAGUAUAAAGGAUGAGAAGCACUAGCCUGGGAAUGAGAUAAAGCACUAGGAGGAUGCCAGGUAGGAGCGGUAGGGUAAAAGUAAGGAAAGGAGGGAUGUUAGGCAGUAGCCUGAGUUUUAUAGCUAAGAAAGAUGGGCUGAGUAGGCGAAGUAGGAGAGUUAAGGGGUCGUUUGGGCAUGUUAGACCCUCAGCUUUGAGUUGAAUUAUGUGUCUCCGUUUUCAAUCUUAUAGGAAUUACUUGCAUUCCCGGGUUCGAGUUCAAGUAUGAUUAUUACUAGAGCAAUUCUUUCCAUUAGCAGUCACACUCCUUUUAUUGGUAGUUGGCUUCCCUUUCUCUAGUUAAAGUAUUAGAAGCGAUAGUUACAUAAUGAAAUCAAAGAGAGGUAGGUUGAAAGAGGGGAACUAUAGACUCAUAGCUAGGGGAUGUAGGCUAGAAGAAAGUAAAACGGAGAUUCGAAUCGGCAGUGAAAGUAUUAGAAACAGUGGGGUCAGUCCAACCAGUAGUGGGCUUGAAGAAUAGUAUAUGUAGUUUAGUAAUGAGGUCAAGGAUGAGCAGGUCGAAGAGCGAGACCGGGAUAUUAAGUUGGUAAAGAAUUAGAAGCUGGCUGGGUAUUGGUAAGAAUCAGACAAGUAAAGAGAUCCCGAAGACAUAUAUUGUAAUAAUGGGAACUCUAGCGGCCCUUUCCCUUUAGCGCCACAGUAGACAAGCUACCACUCCACUACACUUCUUUUGAAACAGAACUACUACCCUUACUUUCAGGCUUGGACUCCUUAGUUUGAUCCGUUCACCUAUAUAAAUAUAAUAUAGAAUUCAGUAGGGGACAAGCCUACAAAAGAGAUAGAUUUCCUCUUUGCUUAACACAAGCACCCUAGCACUAAAGUUCUCUUUCCACCGACAACACUAGCACCAAACCUAUCCCUCUGACUUAGAGCUGGAGCACCAACCCAACCCGCCAAGCAACGAGCCAAGUAACGACUAGAGCACCUAUUUUGGAUGAUCCUUUUGAAGAAACACGGGAUUUUUCAUAGCAAUCGGAUUUCCCCUAAUAGGUGGCCUAUUUGGAAUGAGAUCUUGGCGUUUUCCCGAGAAAAAAGGUAGCCAAGUCAUUUCCCUUCCUGGACCGAUCAAAAGGAAUCAAAGGUUUGCGUUUUCCCGGGAAACAGCGCUGGCGCGUAACAUUAGUAGUUACUUGCCGGAUAGCAUUGUCAUUUCCCUUCCUGGAAGGCAUCAUGGAAAUUGGAUUUGUGCGGGGACUCCUGCCGCAUCACCGAACACAUAGGGAGUAAGAGAGCAACCAAAACGGUUUAUUUGCUUUUUAUUAUUCCAGUUGAGUUUGAGGCCUUGGCCCCGGGAUUUUUCAUAGCAAAUGGAGAAUAUCUCCUCUGAUCUUGCCUCGGAUCUUGCUCUUGAAACUAACCACUCGAACAGGAACAAGCAGUACUAAAGGGAUUCCACUCGCUAACUACAGGCUCGGCUCAUCUAACUCAAUUCAUUUCUUUGAUACCUUCAUUCUUCCCACUCCGAUGAUAAGAUCUAGUCAACUGGUUUUCUUUCUUUCCUUACCUAGCAACUGCAGACUCCCCAUUAGAAGGGACAGGUCACCAAAGCCUUACUAUUAAGCCUUCAACUUCAACAAGGUCUUCCACUCUCACAGGAACAGGGCAAAGUCACUACUAGACAAGAAAGCCAGCCAGUAAACUCUUGCUCUUCUGCCUCAUUGGCAUCCUCCGCUACUGAUGCAACAGCACUACAUGACUUAACGAGCACAAGAACUAUCCUUGAAGACGAGACCAGCUCUCAUACUGGGAGUUCUCUGUCUAUACUCUGCGUGUGACCUAUGAAACCAUCUUUGAAUGCCAUUUCAAGCGAAUUUCCUAGCUUAUUUCCCAUAAAACUUAAUAAGUGCUGCUCUAGUUCAUUUGAAACCUAGAUCUUGAUGGCAUUAAUUAAGGUCACAGGACUGGAAGUUCAGAAAUCAGAAUGGAGUGGACUUACCAACUAGACCACUACAAAUAAGAAUGACACUCGAAGCUAAGAGGCAAGCAACAGAACAAUUCUAGUUCCCCACUUGCAGCAACAGAGCCAUUCUAGUUCCCCUGGCUCGGCAGCAUCAGAUCUUAUCUCAAACCGGAAAUUCCAUUCUUUCUCACACCCGACACCCAUACCAGUAAGCUACCUUAUCAGUCUGCCUAUCCUUGCUUUCAUUCUUUCGCUACCCGGUUGCAUUCUUAGUUGUACUUGUUAGAGACCCUAGCUACACCGCAUCAGCCCGAGGAACACUGGGUUAAGCCUUUGACUCACUGGUAUCAGGCUGAGUGUGAACUGUUUGAUUCUUUGACUCCAAAGCAGCAGUCCCAUACUAACUAGCAUCGGCCUGUAACACCUAAGCUUCAAUCUGAGCCUACCCGGGUGAAGCCUGAGCGACAGUAGUUAGAGACCCGAGCUACCUGGCAGGCUUGGAAGCACUUGUUUCGUUCUGUGACCUGGGUCGGAUAGCCUAUCACUCCUUAGGUGCAGUCUGAGGCAUAUGGGUUUGGUUCUUUGACUACCGGGGCUCAGUCUCAGUGGCACUGGUAUCAGGCUUAGAGUCAGGUGUUUGGUUCUUAGGGGCACUGGUUGGAGUCUUGUCAGCACCAGUAGCUGGCUUGGAAGUUUAGGUUGAAGUCUUGCUCGCCCUUGGUUGAGUCUGUAACUACCUACCAGAAGCCUUAUUCCCAUGGUGGAAUCUGCUACUAAUGAGUUGAAGCCUUAGAUGCACUGGGUCGAUUCUCUGUCUGAUGAGUGUCAGUCUGGUUAGCAAGGGUUGGUGUCUGAUUGGAUCGAGUUUGAGUCUGAUCGGCACCAGCACUAGUCUGUUACUCCUUAGCCUCAUUCUCGGUGGUAUUGGUUGCAUUCUGAUCGGAUCUAGUUGAAGUCUGAUUGGAGUGAGUUUGGUUCUGAGAUGCACUGGGUUGGUUCUGCAAGUAAGUGAGUGAAGACUGGUUGGUAGGUGCCUCAGUCCUAGCAACAUCGGUAUCAGCCUUAGAUGCACUAGUGGAAGGAUUGCUUGCACUGCUUUCAGGCUUGGACUGCCCAGCUCCGUUCUCAUACUGCCUAGGUGAAGUCUUUGAUGCACUGCUUUAAGCCUUAGAUACACUGGCUGCAUUCUCGCUUCCCGGGGUUGAUAGCAAUUCUGCACUUCUUUACAUAUAGCUUGGCUUCAAAGCCUCUCUUCUGGCUACAACUACUGAUGCAACAGGACCAUACCACUCACAAAACCCCGGCAAAAAGGGCAGCAACCAGUGAGAGCUCCUGCCGCGUAACUAACUACGUUCCUUGCCUGAUAGCCAUAUGUACUAGUCUCUUUGCUUUGAGUGGAAUUCUGAAACUACUCCGAGUUGACUUCUUGUUAUCAUAUAUAAGAUAAUAUAUAAUUUAGUAGGGCCAAGGAACGGAUAGACAAGUAGGCAAGCAUCGGCAUACAAUCCGUUUUCAUGAGGCCAACAACAACUUGGGCUGUAAACUAUUGAUCCUAUACAUCUCCUCUAACUCUGGCUCCGUCAAGCUACAACUACUGAUGCUGAUUCUCUUUCUUCCCUUUCCUUCCUCUCCUCAAGAAUUAGCAGUGCGAGGAAAGUCUUCGAGAGACCUUAUUGGUUAGCUGUUACUAAUUUCACUGUGACUAAUUUCAAACAAUUUGGUCAAGGAGAAAGUGUAGUUCAAUUUAGGAGUUUGCAAAGGAUCUUAACCAGUGUGGUAUGCCAGCGGAGUGAAAAGAGCAAGAGCAAGAGGCAGACUGCACUUUACUAUUAAUUCGUAGAUUAGAAAGCAGCUUGCUUGUUGAAUAGGGCUCCUAGAGAUCCUUUACUCUGCCCCGACCUAUACUUUCUGUGAAGCCGAAGCCGAAGAUUCUCUAGCUCUUUUCGAAUGUCCUAUAUUAGCUAUUUCCUCAUUGCUUAACACAAGACAAGCACCCGAACCCACUUCUUUACUUAUUGCUUCCUCGCCUGUAACUGAACGAGGAUUCUGCUUCUCUGAACUUCACUUCUUCUUAUCCCGAUCCUGCUGAUGACCUGAACUAUACCUUCUUUGCUACUUACUUACGAACUUAAGCAUCUGAUCUCGUCGUAAAGACAGAUUCCACUUCAACAAGGUAUUCAAUUAGAACCAGGGGAUGGGUAAAAUGCUUUCUUUUCAGUUUCAGAACUAUGAUAUGGACUUUCCCUCUAUUACAUUACUUCUCUAUGAACUAUAUUAUAUUUACCACUAGAUUCUAUUUACCUUUACCUCUACCGGUGUACAGAAUACUAGUCUCUCUCUUUGGUUACUCAAAACUUCUAUUUAAGGGUAUAGUAGUAGUCCAAUGGAAGCAGUGCCAAGCCGGAAGGGGGGAGAGAAUCCUUAUAAUACUGAUUUCACUUUACUACUGGAGAACUACUUGCUGCUGACUUAACUGCUGAAGAAAAGAGGGCUUCUUUCCAAGAGUCAACUCAAUUAUUAAAGGAAGGAGUGCUGGGGGCAGUAAAGUAAGUAAACUCUAUAAAUUAUACUGCCUUUGAAGCGAGGUGUCCUGUCGCACCCCCAUAAGAAUGGAGCUCUAUCUUGUCAACAACAAAUAAGUAACAGAAUGGACCUCUCCUCUCUCUAUCUUGCCAACCCACAUUCUGCAGACCGUUUAGACCACAUGAAGUAGGCACAUCGGGUGGAGCAGCUAAGGGGAAAGUUUCAAUAACUUCUCGCUACUGAAGUAGACCGUGCAAAGGUAAGACCUAUGUUCAAGGUUGUUAACGCUUAUGAGUUCGUGCAGCUCGACAAGCAAAGGAAAGCCAAGAACGUAUCUCUAUGAAGCAUAAGAUCGGAUUACUGCUGACUGACUUGAUACUGUUUCUUCUUAGCUUCCUUCUACAAAAGCUUGAACCCGAACUCUCUGCUUGAGCUUGCUGUACGACGAAAACAGAAGAAGUUAUGAUUAAUAAAUAAAUAGUAGCGCUACGGCAUCAAAGCAAUUAAUGGAUUAUGACCUCGAUACCGCCUCUGAUCUCGCAAACUCCCUGACUUUUGAUUAUUCCUCGAACUCGUAUUAACUUGAAGAACUGCCUUGCAACAAAGAAUGGAAUCGAAACCAUACUCUCUACCCUUGUAAAACUCCUCAGGUAAAUUAGAUCACUACUUUACGCACCUAUGUAAAUGACUCCUUCCCUUUUAGCCCGGCAUUAUAGUCAUUUUCAUCUAACGCACAACCUCAAAGCUCACGCUCUACUUAAUGGAAUUCCUAAACUAUGGCAAACAAACGAAACUCACCGGACUAACGCACCCAAGAAGUAAGCUAAGGCUUAAGACAGGAAUGAACCUAAGCUUGUUUCAUGAAUGGAACUUUGCCCUUACUUUAGCACUGUGGAGAAUCCUUCUUUUUAUUCCUCUCAAGCAUCAGAUCUUUCUUCGGCAACAGAUCCAGCUCUUUAUCCUUGACUUUAUUCUCUGACCUUUAAAAGCCAGUACUUGAUCUUGAUCCAGCUUAUGGUUUCCACUCGAAAGUUCUAUUUCUCUGUAAUUAGAAUUGAAUCCUCCUGCCCUAUUCCUUGGCUUGCACCUUAGUGAGCCACCCUAAACCAACCCAACUAUUUCUCUUAUUUGCUUGUUUAUCGCAAAAAGCAUUCCAUUCCUGUUAGCUAGCUCUUGUCGUUAGCGCACCUAAACUAGAUUAUGACUUUACCAGCACCUAAAGAGAAGUAAGCAUUAGCAGCACUAAGUCAAAGAGAAAUAAGCAUUAGCAGCACGAAGUCUUGUUGCAACGAGGAAACCUUUAAAGUCAUCUUUCUUGCGCCGAGGAAGAGGAAACCAGAAAUAGGAAUUGUUAAUAUAUGUGAAUAUAUGGUUAUAUAUGGUUAUAUAAAGAGUGAGUGGGAAUGUAAACUCCAGCUAGCACGCACAAAGUCUCUUCUCUUGUUGCGCUACUAAAAAAGGACUCGUGCAUAACUCCUACUAACGCAGACUCGUUCUAGGCAGCAUACUAAUGCUUGUUGAGUGCCUUUCCUCUCUAUGCUUCUAUGCUUAUUCGUCUUGCUCCAGUUCUCGUAACACGAACACAGCACUUGGAAUUGAUUCUCUCGAUGUAAGGUCAAGCUGUAACUCCUAAUGUGUAAGUCAAAGAAUUCUCUUCCGAAUACAUUAAUUCUUUCCCGCCUAACUAAGCUUCUCUUUUGCCUACUUACUAGCUAGAUUGCUUGCUUCUUGAAACAUAUUCCUCUGUUGGUCGACUUUCGAACUGGAACUACACUUGAUGACUGGAACAAGACUGGAAUUGCUAUCAGCAAAGUCACUAGACAAGUAACGGGCAAGAGGAGAAGGUUAGGAUAGAGGUCAAGUGGAAAGUAUAGUUUAAGUGCUCGUCCUGUAGUUGGCGAGUGGAAUCCUAACUAAAGAGUGGAAUCCCCUUUAAGUAGUAGUCUAGACUUCCUGCAACUCUGAUAUCCUAUAGCUCUGGCAACUGGCAACUAUUCUGAAUUUCCACUCCGGACCUUCCCUUUAUGAGCGCCAAACAACUACUAGACAAGUAACUACUACAAAAACAUAGAAGGCAAUAAACUAAUAAUAACAGUUUUCAUGAGUUGUUAGCAAGUCCUAAUUAAUAGCGUCAGCGAGCUGAAAAGCGGUAGCGAGUGAAACUGCCUUUGUUUCAUCCUUUGAGUGACCAGUGGAAUUCCCGCUUUUUAGUUGAGUUACCUGUCCCCGAAGCCUAGUCCAUUAGUUAGUGGGUGGUUCGUUUCCUUGUUAUUGGAUAAAGUAUCGGAAACACCAGCUUAAGUCUGAUCGUAGUAGUGGAUUUCCAAAACAAAGUAAUAGAAACGGUCCUUGCAGUGAAUUUCCUUAUAAUAAGAUCAAGUAUGAGAAGGCAGUCGCCUAUUCUUGUAUGCCUCAUUAGUCCAUUCUUUCUAGUAUAGGACCAAGUCUGGUUCUCAGUGGGCUCAGUCUAAGAAGUAGGAGUCGGAGUCCCAUAAUCUAAUCGAGCGGAGACAUACUCUGGUUUAGGAGCAAGAGACUUGGCUACAGUAAAGGGAAGGGUAGACUGAUAGGUAGGAUAUAAAGUAUCUGGACCAGGAGUCUUAGGUUGAAACCAAGGAGAGGUCGCUUAGGUAGGGCAGGGCAUCCUAUAAAGCACUAGGUUUAGUUUGAACCCGAGGAAGGGUAGGCUGAUUGCUAGUAAAGCUGUACUUGAGUGAAGUAGUUCAUUUCUGUAUUCCCGGGGGGUUAACAGCUGUUUCAGUCUCAUUUGGGGGGUUAUCAUACCUAAGCCAGCAGUCACAGCCUUCAAACAGUAUUUGCAGUGUAUAGCCAGUAGAUUGAUUCCCUUUUUCGAGUGGAGUUGUUGUUGACCUUAGAUUCAGUAGUGCCAGGCUAUAGUCAGUAGCUGGAGAACGGCCAAGUAACUGCUGGACGCCAAGUCACUUCUAGACAAGACGACAGACAAGACGAGGAUAGACAAGCAGACAAACAACUAAGUAAUAGAAUCAUAGGUAAUAGGCUCCAAAGCUAAGUAAUAGAAUCAUGCCUUGUCUAAGAGCAGGACGAAUUGAACUACAAACUGGUAAUCGAACCUCAUACUUGAUCCUAAAAUAAGGAAUGGAACAGCUGUCAACAAGACUCUCCAUGGAACUAAGACCUAAGCUGCCUGCCUAAUUAUCUGUGUUGCUCCCGGAACCCUUGCUUGUUAGCUAAAGAAACGAGCUAAGGAAUCAAAACUUAGUGAACUCAACCCGGAACACAAGGAAAUCAACCAGUCACUGAAAGACUUAUAUCACUACGAGCAAUAAUCUAAGUCUGUGAAACUUAUGAGGCUCUCAACUAAUUACUAUUAGACUGAAAUCACUGCUAGCAAGGAUCCAACUCAACACUAUUGCCGCUACACUCUUUCAGGGCUGUUGGGCUUCGAUACGUAUCUGUUCUUGCACGGUUCCAACUCUGCUACUGCUAACUAAAAGAAUCGAUCUACCAACUCGGAAUCCUACAAAUAAUGGAAAGAAUCGAACAAGAGAAAAAGAAUCUAACUAAGGUAGUACGAUGUAGUGCACACUAAGCGUAGGUACGGGAUAGCGCAUACCAGCAGAUAGAAACAAACUACUGAUAAAAAGAAUGCGAUUAGCGCUUCUAAGACAAAAACCAAAUAUAAGGAAUUCACUAGUACACCAAUAAACUCGGACACCAAACAAUACUAGGACUUUUGAACUAGGAUUGAACCAACGUUAGCAAGAAGAAACUAGCGCGCUAAGAGACUGAACCGCAGAACUCAUAAUUGAACAAGAGAACAGGAAUGGAACUGCUACUUAAAGGGCUUGAACUAAUGCCUNNNNNNNNNNNNNNNNNNNNNNNNNNNNNNNNNNNNNNNNNNNNNNNNNNNNNNNNNNNNNNNNNNNNNNNNNNNNNNNNNNNNNNNNNNNNNNNNNNNNNNNNNNNNNNNNNNNNNNNNNNNNNNNNNNNNNNNNNNNNNNNNNNNNNNNNNNNNNNNNNNNNNNNNNNNNNNNNNNNNNNNNNNNNNNNNNNNNNNNNNNNNNNNNNNNNNNNNNNNNNNNNNNNNNNNNNNNNNNNNNNNNNNNNNNNNNNNNNNNNNNNNNNNNNNNNNNNNNNNNNNNNNNNNNNNNNNNNNNNNNNNNNNNNNNNNNNNNNNNNNNNNNNNNNNNNNNNNNNNNNNNNNNNNNNNNNNNNNNNNNNNNNNNNNNNNNNNNNNNNNNNNNNNNNNNNNNNNNNNNNNNNNNNNNNNNNNNNNNNNNNNNNNNNNNNNNNNNNNNNNNNNNNNNNNNNNNNNNNNNNNNNNNNNNNNNNNNNNNNNNNNNNNNNNNNNNNNNNNNNNNNNNNNNNNNNNNNNNNNNNNNNNNNNNNNNNNNNNNNNNNNNNNNNNNNNNNNNNNNNNNNNNNNNNNNNNNNNNNNNNNNNNNNNNNNNNNNNNNNNNNNNNNNNNNNNNNNNNNNNNNNNNNNNNNNNNNNNNNNNNNNNNNNNNNNNNNNNNNNNNNNNNNNNNNNNNNNNNNNNNNNNNNNNNNNNNNNNNNNNNNNNNNNNNNNNNNNNNNNNNNNNNNNNNNNNNNNNNNNNNNNNNNNNNNNNNNNNNNNNNNNNNUGACAGCCUUGGACUUACUAGUUGAGUUUCUGACUUAGAGUUAAGGUCUCUUAUGCCCGGAUCAAUUCCCUUUAUCGGUAUUCUCAUUCCCAUAGUAGUUGUAGUAGUGCUCCCAUAGCGGGUUCUCGCGGGGGACUAAACUGUAGAAUCAUAUACUAAGGUUUCAAUCAAUAGCGUAUAGAAUAGGUGCGUUUUACGUAAUUCAAGAUACUGUUUUGAUAUUACAAAUAAGGAAUAACAGUUAGAGUAGCACAAACUAUACUUUAGAUUAAGAGAAUUGCAAUAAGAAUACAGAACGAAAAGAGCAAGUCAAAGAAUGCAAUAGGAACAGCACAAGAUCGAACUAAUAAAUAAGAGAACUAAAGGGACCUAUCCGGAUAACCAUUACUGUCUUUCAUUAUGAAAACUAUCAUGCCCGGACUGAACGACACCUUUCACUCUUGAAACUUCCCUUCCUACUUACUGAUCUGUGGAAUGGACGAUCCUUGCUUUGCUGUAUCUAAACCGGACUUGACCUCCGCUCUUUAGUGUCAUUCUGAGUAGUACUUGUUUCAUUCUUAUUAAUAGUGGCGAACACACUGACGCUCGAAAUUAGGUUCACUCAGGAUUUGUUGUUUCAUUAAAAAGCUUAUCCGCCCUUAACCCUUCUCUUAGAAGCACAAGCACCGAACCAGUCAUCCGCCCUUAACCCUUUACCUUAUACUUUACUGAGAGCGCAUUAACAAGAGAAGAUCACUCCUACCGCCUCGAAGACAAGACUUGCUUAUAACUCAUUAAACCAUAUUAUUUGGCAAAACUGCUGCCGCUUUUCACUCGCUACCGCUACACAUUAGUAGUGACUUGUCCAGUUGUUUGGCCCUUGAUUUACCCAUUGCUUUAGAUAGUCCCUGAUAGUGUCGAGAAGAGAGAGCGCCCAGUGGUGCAAUCAUUUUCUUUAGUUAGUGGUCUGCCCCCCUAAAGCAAGGGGAUUACGUCUUAAAGGAAUGCUUGAUGGAUGUCAACAGUUAAGGGACAAAGAGAAGGUGCCUAGUCAUCAACACGAGCGAACCUGGGCAAUAGCUAUAGGCACUCAGGAUCAGAGCAGAUACGAUUGGUCAUGAACAUUUUAGUAAUCAACAGAGAUUCAAUGAUUUGUUGAUUCAGCUAGAGCUAGAGAAAACUCUGUAUUGGUUGACUGGCCCGUAUCGCACUACUGCUCUCAGUCAAGUAGCAAGUCAAGUAUGGUUGUUCCACCGCCCGGUAAGGAAGCAAAAGGGAAGAAGCUACGGUACAUGCAAGGGAACAAGCGAGUUCGCAAGGGCAAGAAAAUAGUACUCUUAUCUAGGGUUAGGUUGCCUCCAUUCAUUCUUCUUAUGCCUCUAUUAUAACUAUCCGUUUUUGUUUUGAGUCUGGUUACGCUAUGAUAUUGGUUGUUAUGUCAGUGAAAUGCUUUUGAACAAGCAACAGUGGAAUAUGGCAUUCCAGUAAAGUACUUGAAGUCAGGGUAGAAAGAAGAAAGUAACGUUGAAAGAAACAAGCUCGUAUCUCGUAUGAAAGCAGUAAGGAGUAAUAUGUUUUGUUACCAGGUAGUGUGGUCAGAAUAAGUUGUAGCAAGGUCGCCUCAAUUCUGUCUUUCGAGUUGUUCCGUCUCUCAGGUAUAUCUGUCUGUCCUAACUAAAUAAAGGCUCCGCUCAGGUCUCUGUCUCUCUUUCUGUCCUCUCCUAAAAAGAAAGGGCUAAGGUAGGUCCUAGUUAAGGGAUAAAGUCAGAAACCAAUGCUCCAGUAAGAGUUAUUACCCACUAGUAGCUACUAGUAUCAAAGGUGCUGUAGCUCGUUUCGUUCAGUUGUUUUUCCAGGAAUUGAGUCUAGCGUUACUAAUAUAGAAUUGAUGAAAAAGAGAGCGGAGCUAAAUAUCUAUAAUUCUGGUAACCUAAACCCGAAACUACAAUAAUUCAGAAGCUCAAUGUAAUCGACCCUUGCUGGUUCCAGAGACUCACUCUUACUCUAUUUAACAAGCUAUUUUAUUGCACCGUUACUUGUUCCGCUCCUUAUUCAAAAAGGUAUUAGCUAUUUGCGCAGAGUAAAGAGGUUAAACGACGAGCUAUGAGUUACUUGGCGCCUUGCCUAGUUGCUUGGCUCUGUCUCUCACCUUUGAAAGUAAGGAAGACAAGCUAUAGGAAUGAUAUCCCAAUUAGGAAAUGAGUCAGCUGGCAAGUAAGCGAGAGCGGGUAGUAUGAACUAACUGGAACUAGGGUAGGGCUAUUCAAAGCAUCGAGCAGUAAAGGCCAAAAUGCAGGGGAAUCAGCAGCGCGCUCUUUACAGCCAUAGUUUGUGUACGAGUCUAAUUUGAGGUUGAAUCAUCAGAGGACAAGGAAGAUGACAUCGAAUAGGCUCUUUCGGGUGCAGCUUUGAAUGAAGGAAUGGAAUCUACAGCUAUGGAAUCGGUUCUUGGCAUAUCAGCUCUUGUGCACUCCUAUUGGGAAAGUCCUAAUAAAGUCCAUUCUUUUGACCCCGAAUACGCUCUUUCCACUUUCCACUUUCUACUUGCAAUAUACUGACUUUCCACUUUCUACUUGCAAUAUAGUAAGGGGUCGCAUUAACCACAAGAACAUUAUUGGAUUUUGGUUGCGCUUACGGAGUUACGCUAGUGAGUUUGCUGGAACAAGAAGCAACGGCUGGCUAGAAAGAAGCAAGCAACUUACAUCUCUGAGGCCUCUAUGUCUUUUGCACUAAAUCAAACAAGCCCAGAAACUAAUAAGCAUAAGCCCUACUGAACAAGGACAAGUCACAAAAGAAACAAGGGCGAGAGCAAGGACGAAAACAAGGACGAAAACCAGGGUAUAUAGUCGAGUCGUUCAUUUUCUUUGAUUUCGCCUAAGUGCUAAUGUGAGUUAGCUAAGUGAGUUAUAUUGGAUUAAGACUUGAACCAACACAGUCCCUAUAGCUCCCCUAUCAUACUUGCAAGUAUCAAGCUCAAGUUGAGUAUCCCGUUGGUGUAUCUAGGUUAUGAACCUCUCCUUUAUAGUAGCAGACCGGCCUAGGCCUAACAGUUUUGUUUAGGUAGACACUUUCUUUGGGCGAGAGAUCGUAUAGACUGGAUACAGUGGAGCUAAUACUUUAGACUCAAGCGCGUAGUGGCGUGGGCUAAGCUUUAUACGACAACUUUCAACCUACUCCACCAGCAACAGCGGAACAAUCACCUUAACUCUCUAACACACUCGUGUCUGGCCUGGCGCCAAGUCCUGUGUCUACCGACCUAAACUAUAACUAGCAAUUAUCCUUCUUCUGAUCCUGGCACACAUCUUGGUUAAGGCUAUACUAGCAGGGCUAUAUCGUAUAACAGAAAGGAAAUACUAUGCUUCCCCAUCUUAGUAAUCUGAUCCUACUUGUGGAAUUGAAACUCUCUUCCCUUUAGCCGAGUAAACAAAGAAUGAUCUUUCGAGGGCGGAAGUUUGCCUAGAGGAUCUUCUUGCUGUAAAAUAAGGAAUUGCAUCUUUUGAUCGGCGAGUCCAUACUGAAUUUGGGUAUUACAAAUAAUAACGAUAUAUAUGACUAUAGCUUGUUUCGACACCUCGUGCAUUAUGUUGUAGGGCCAGGCCAGUACUAUCUUCUGCUUUAGUCUCUUAUCUUGCUGAAGACCAAUACCCUGCUUCCAAUCUAUCUUCUUCUCUUUAUUCGACUUCUGAUCUCUAAGACUUAACAAGAACUGAAGAAACCUGGACUUAUACAAAAUGUAGUGGUUAGCUAGCAGGGCGCACUACUGGAAGGGAAGGAUGCUAUAAAUCAAUGUGACGCACUACAGGAAAGAUGCUUUUCAUCUCAGUAUUGGGAACUGGUCUAUGGUUCUAAAAGAGAAUAUGCAUUUCAACAGCUUUUCGGUCAAUGGUAGAAGGCGAAGGCUAAAGUCAGUUGCAAGCAAUUCAGAAAGGGAAUAACUCGCUAACGAAAUGGGCAAAUCAAGUAGAUAGUAUGGUAGAUGCGCUUAAAGAAGUGGAAAGUUCCAUAAGUAUACAGUCUGGUAUCAAGAAACAAGCAAUCUUCUCCUAUCUUCCCUCUGCGCAAGAUGAACAAGUAACAGAACGAGCGGAGCAAGCCGUGUAGCAGGUAGCCCAAAACUCCUGACACAACUCCUUACAUUCUGUCGCUGCCGCUUUGAACUCGCUCCAUCUUUCCGAUAGGCUUCUCCAUGGGGGGACCCAAUUAGGAUCAAUAGGAUUUGGAUAAGCGAAUCGCUUUCGAGGCCUCAAGGAUUGCCCAUUCAUUAAAUAAGGUGCUUGCUUUAGUUCUUUGCUGUAGUAGAGGAGGCUCAUCAAUGAUUGGGAACCAGAAUGUGGGUAUUUCACUAGAUGCCCCUCCAUUGAUCUUGGCUUGCUUCGUUGCAUUCAUUCAUUCAUUGUUUGAUUCUUCGGGCUUCUUACUCUUCCGUCCAUCUUACUAAUAAUAAUGGCAUGGCAAUCGGUCAAAGGCAAAGUUGGAAUUCCGGAAAACACCAAGAAGUAUCCAUUAUUAAGCGAAAAGAUGUGAUCUGAAAUUAUGCACGAUUUACGGGGGUUGUCUUCCUUUCUUGGGAGUGAAGCAAUGAGUUGGGUAAGCUUUCUUGGGAGUUAAGCGAUGAGUUGGGUAAGCUUCCUAAGGGUAUGGCUUCUCCGGGGCGACUAAGGACACACCAAACCAAACGAUCGGUAAACGGGUCUCCUUUUUUACAAUCUCCUACGCUCGCGUACGGUUGUUUUCAAAAAGUCGUGCAAUCAAAAAGCAUUCUAUGAACGAAUUCCUUCAUAGUCUGAAUAGAGUCAGUAGAGUAGAGAGAAAUGGCAUAGUCUUAUAAGUAGAGUAGAGAGAAAUGGGAGUCAGCCUUUGGUAUUAAGUUAUGAUUACUUAGUUCCUGUCUAUCUCUAUCUAGAAUAAUAGAUCCUCUGUGAAGCGGAGAAAGAUCCGUCCAGUAUUUAGAACUAGAUUCGGAAAAAUGACAUACUGAAUAAAACUAAGGUGAGGCGAGUUUCGAUUAACAAAAAGUGGAGUAGAAAGAAGACUCAAUAAAAAAGAAGAAGGCGACACCCCUUGCUGCCUUUACGAAGAUUGACAUUCUUUGCUUCUUUUUGUUGUUUGAAAUAGGACCGGGCCGGGUAGAAUCAGGUUGUAAAGAAAGAAACCGACAGAGUGGGGGAUUGUACUGUCCUCCUCACUGACCCCAAAGAAGAUGGCUCUGUCGCUAAGCAGGCCGGCGGAGAGGACACUCAAAAAGAAGAAAACCCACAAAUAUGCUAUGCUUAACACAAACGGUCCCCCCGGCGAUCGACCAUACGCACCGCGGACGAAGCGUAGAGGUGACUUUAGUUUGUUGUACCGGAGUGGUUCAUCAUCAAAAGAACAACAAUGGGUUGUAGCAUUUCCUAUUCAUUUGGAUAGGGAAGAGAAGAGGGCUUGAACGUCUGGGGCACUAUACAAUGACCACUACGAACGAAGGGCCCAACGACUUUCACUUUAGGAUCAUAACGAACUAUAUGCUUAUCUGGUGGAUGCGCGUUCUUGGGCAGUUUCACCUCUCUAACAAGAAAGAAAGUCAUAUAAGAAAAAGAAGAUGACGCCCACCAAUAAGAGUAUGAGUAAAUAAGGGUCCCGUUAAUCCCGAAACGCAAGUCGAAGGAACCCCGCCAAAGAAAUCCAAUAAAAGGGGUGACCCCUGAAAGCCCGGCCAAGCAACGAGUCAAUCAACGAGCUUCUUUCGCACUGCUUCCCUUUUGCUUACUUACUAUUUCCAUUCAUUAUUCUUAUUAGGGUAAUCCCCGAAUCAGUAGAUAGUUCUGAAUUCUACACUCCCUUCGCUGAUUCCCUUUCUUAUUCCCCGUAUAGUAUGGAAUUGCCAGUUAUUGAACUCUGUCUCAUAUCCGAUACCGUAGUCAACUAAUAUGAAACAAUAAAUACGGAAUUAAGGAGCAGCUUUCGGGUCAGUUCUUGUUUAUUAACUUACACUUACAUGAAAUAUUCAGUAGGUCACUGGAACAUCAGCUGUUCGAAGGGAACUGGUUAGGUUUCUUAGUUAUUAGGGGAAUGCGCUAGAUCUUACCCGCUUCAUUCUUCUCUGUAAACUAAUCAAGUUAGGGCAACUUACUAUAAGGCCUACCAGAUUUCACGAGCACAAGAACUCCCCUUUCCUCUCUCUCCUCUGUACUAAUUGCGGUAACUAAGAUAAGAUGUACAAAGAGACUCCUGUAUCUUGCUAGCUCACCAAUUAGUGGAAUUCUGCAAUUCCUUAGCCCGAGUGUAGCUAUAGCACAGGUUUCAGUCUGACUUUACUACUGGCUCACCUCGCCUACUUACAAUAAAAGUACUUGCACCCGAUGAGACCUCUCUACUUCUAGAAACCCGACCUAAACUAUGGCUAUGUACUCUUUACUACUCUACAACACCUCCGGCUCCCGAGCACAUAGCAAGUAAUAAAUACAUUAUAACGUGUUAUUUCAGAGUCCUAUAUUGUACCAUUUCUUUUGAUACCUUAGGCUCCUAGGCAACUAUUAACUGAACUGAUGAUAAAGCUUCCUCAGCUGCUCUUUCAACUACUUCUAUAUAAGAUGAAACUAGGGAUUCUACUAUAGCACCGAACUACCCUAUGGCAACUCGGGAUGUCGCCUAUACUAUUGAUUGCCUCUGUACCCGCUCUGGCUUAUUCUUAUUUCUCUUGGAUACAUUCCUCGAGCAGUCUCAUCUCACUCAGGAUAUCCCUCCAUCUCAUCUACCUCUCCUCGAAAGUGAACUUAAUUAAUUGUCUUGCCCGACCCGACCUCAACUGGAACUGCUCCUGCUGCAGAGAUAGGGUAGGUUGUUUCUACUCGUAUUCAGGUUAAGGUAAGGCACACGUAUACUUAGUGGAUUGUCCGUCCUUGCUUGUUAGAGCAUAGGUAGGUUGUUUCUACUCGUAUUCAUUAUGGGUGUUGGCGGUAACCCCUCUUUCUGUGUUCACUAAUUAAUACAAUAUAUACCUCUGGAACAAUACACUCAACAGAUGGAGCACUCCACUUCUUUUCUUGUCCAAGCCAACAACUUAUGAAGUGUCAACUCACGCGGAAUCUCUUUCGCGGUAAACUCGCAUUGCCACAAUUGAUUGAAGAGACACAGAACGCCUUGUUUCAUUUCCAUUCGAUAUUGAUGGUUGUCAUAGAAUAAAGUGAAAUGUCUAACAGUCCAUUCGAAUUCGAGUUUGGCACCCACUUCUAGUUAAUGCUCGUUUUGUUUGCUGUAAGCCCCUGUUUAAGCCAAGUGAUAGGGCUGGGCGAACCCCUGUGACAAAUGCAAAUACGUAGCUUAUAUCUCGCUCACUUUAUACUUACCCGCUAUUUUGGUUUGGGUAUUCGAAAAGAUCUGAUAUCGCUGUAGAGAAAAGAGAUAUUCGGCUGAGGCUUGGGCAAAGGGCAACUUACCCAUCUAUGUGGUUACAUCAAUGCUAUACAAGACCCUUACCCUAUCUUUCUACUGAAACAAAACUGGAUAUUGGACCUGGAACAGGCAAUUCAGCUGCUGACUCUCCUCAAACAGUCAAAUCACAGAAUGGAAAUAAUGCGUAUCGAGUACUAGAAGAAAGUCAAUACGCUAACUCUUUGGCUUUUGCUGAACUAUCCUUUCCGCGGGCAGAUGAUUCUCUACUCCCCACCAUUUGUUCAAAGCAAGUACUUGAUUCUUCCAAUUAAUAAGGGCAGUCUCAGGGCCAAGCCUAGCUACGUAAGCAACGAAUAUAGAAUACCGGGGGACUCUAUUCUUAUCGGAAGGUCUUCCCCGGCUUAUGGUCUUUCUUCCUCACCAGCUCCAUCUUCUUCUUUCCUAACCAGCUCCAUCUUCUUCUUUUGAUUCUUCUUCAGAAUAAGGGGUCUAUCAAUCUAUAAGGGGUCGGGGUGUAAUAUAAGAAAGAAGGUAAUCAACUCUCCUAUAUGAAGUGAUCUUGGGUUUUCUAUAUAAAGAGAAUAUAGAAUGAAGUAGGGGACAAGCUAACAAAUAUUCUAGAUUUCUUCUAUGCUUAACACAAGCACUUUCUCCUAUUCUUUUCUUGGACACCGAACCUAUAUUUCAGUGGAACUAGACUAUAUUCUUGCCCCCACGAGGUAAAGCCCUUUCCAGAUGCACUACAGGUCGCUAGUACUUUCUUCCUUAAGCCUAGUAGUUUGAGUCGGAAAGCCUAGUAGUUUGAGUCGGAAGCUAACAAGCAAGGACAGUGCCCCGAAACUAUAAAGAAGCACCCCGCCCGAACACAAUAAGCGUAAGCUAUAGGCUUGUUCCGUUGCUUGUUCUCCAAAGAAUAGAGUGCCAAAUCAUAGAAUUGAGCGUGACGUGACACAUAUAGAUUCAAGUCACCUAAACUCUGAAUGACACAUAUAGAUUCAAGUCACCUAAACUCCGAAAAACUAAAGCACCCCGACUCGCUCACUAGCGCCCUAGAUUCUUCCCCAACUCUCAAUCAUUUCUUCUCUAUAGCAUAUGAUAUACAAAAGUAACAAAACACUGGCUGGUGACUCUAAAGAAUGGAAUUUCUGCAAAGGGUCAACCGCUGAAUAAGAUCAUUAUUGCCUUGCUUCUUGUUCGAAAGCUGUUGCUUCGCCCUUGUUUGUUCCCUAGCUUAUUCACUGCCUUUACUUGAGACUUUCACUGACGUAGAGCUACUAUAAACGAUAUAUGAAACUAUAGCCAAUGAGAACAGUAGCUUGCGGACUUCUCUUUUGGACUUCUCUUCUGGAACUCAACUUCAAUGAAAGUGUACUGACCGCAUAAAUGGAGUGAGUUGGGCUAUAAAAUGAGGUCAAUAAGGGCAUUCUCAUCGUUUCACCCACGUGACGUUCCACUCUACCUUCAAAGCUCAAGAUCCGGCUUAGAACAAGGAUUAUAAGCUGUUCAGUUCGCCCGAUAGAAUGAAUCCCCAGUGAAGUCAGCAGCCCUUUUUGAGUCUCCUUCAUAAAGUAGUAGAUGUGAGUGCUAGUUUGAUCUUAUAAGGAAGCAGUUCCAGUUUCAUCCUACACAGAAGCCGAAGAUCAUCUCAAUGAAUGACCACCUAGCGCUUCACUUUAGAAGUCAGGGUAAAAGGCUUGAACGCCAAGAUUGAGAGUCGCCCCACUUAUUUGAAACUCAUCUUUUAUGGCCCACGUAACGGAGCUCAUGUCUUAGAACCAUGUCAGUGAAAUGAAAUAGAAAUCCGUCUAAGAAUAAUGUCUGCUCAAACAAAACAUGCCCCAAGACAAGAGCAGAUAGUUUCAGAGGCGAAACAUGCCCACCAAGAGCAGAUAGUUUCAGAGGGAAUAAGCGCGUUAAGAAGAAGCUAUGCUCUGAGGAAGCAGAAGAUGCAAGGGAGCAAGCUGCUAUAACAAUAACUAGUUUCGUUCCUGGAGCUCACAGUCAUAGAUAGAGGUGAUUGGCUUUACCUUUGCCUGAUUGUCCCGCUGUAUCCGAAAGUACUUAAGUCUAGUGAUGUUCCUUCGAGUGUUGUCUACGAGGUUGGUUCUUUGCUUUCUCUUUGCGCCCUAGCUUUCAUCAUAAUCAUAUUUCUGAUUCUUAUGUCCUACCCUAAACCAAUUACACGUUAGCACUUAGGUGAACUCAAUUCAACAAGCAAAUCCACUUCAUAAGGACAGAAUCAAGCUUACUCUACAGGGCGUCGAGAUAUCAAAUUCUAUCCACUAUACUAUAUACUCUUCCUUGAAACCGCUACUCCUUUAAACCAGACUGCUACACUUAUUUAAGACUCAAUAAGCCAAGCAACCAACGGCUUUCUCGUCACUAACUAACACGGAGUUUCUAUGGAACAAGCAAUGUAUAAUUAAGCACGUUAGAAACUGACUCACAUUCGAUUCUUUCUUUUGCGCUCAAUGAUAAAUGAAACGGGCGUUAGCAACGCAAAGAACCCCUUAUUGGAGUUUGAUACUUUCGUGGCAUCCCUUUCCCUACCGCUUACAGCUUCAUCUGGGCAUUCCUCUCUGGAACCGGAUUCUUCUGUUCUUAACUCGAACGGAAACAGACUCAUAUUCCGGCAAAGUUGAAGAAUAAAGGGCCUAGACUUGACUUUGAUGCUUGGACUAUACCUCCACUCGGGAAAGCCUAUCGUAGACCUAAAGCCAACUACUUCCCUCUCUUUCUCUGGUCGCCAACUGUCAACUCCUUGAAACUACCUUCCCCCUUUAGCGCAGAGGAAAACUCAGAAUGAAUGGAAUCUUGAGAGCGCCUUGUUUCAUCAUUUAUGGAAUCUUUCGGUUCGAGCACAUUUGUAUAGAAUAGAUUGAGUUACCUACACAACUGUUCUGCUUUUCAUUAUCAUUUGCCUGCCUUCUAAGGUGUUAACCAAAGAGCAUAGGUAGUUUGUUUCUCCUCGUAUUGAGUACACCGUAAUUAUUGCUUGUUCCAUUUGCUUUUACCAACCAAAGGAGAGUUAUGACGACGUCCCACAACUGCUAUCGCUUUUGUCUCUAACCCCAUCUUUUAUCGUAUCGUUGUUUAUCCUCCGAGAAAUACCUUUUAUGGGAAAUGUGUGAACCUAAGAAAAGAAGCAUUCCUUAUAAUGCAUUUCAUCCUAUAAUCUUGACCCCUGUUCUCUGUCCUCAUAAUCCUAGCUCUCCGCUCUUUCCUUGUGCUGUAGCUCUUGCCUACGCCAGUCGUUCCCCGUCUGUAGUGGGUCUCAUCUUUGUUGUCUGAGGGAAGUCUCUCCACCCAACCAAGGAGAUAUCUUCGCGAGUAGGUAAUAUAAGAAAUUCAUAGGUGAGGUGAGUUUCCGGGGCCCCUUUCCCGAGUGAGUAGUAAGUGAGUCUGUGUACUGCUUUCUGUGCUAGGUAAGUGUAUCAUUUAUCUUCUAACUCAAAAGGUUAAUGAUGUUCUGUUACGCUAGAGUAGAAAAUCCUAAGAGUACUGGUAUGUGAGCUAGGUACGGUAUGAUAGAAAAAGGUCACUCACCCCCUCGCUAUAUAGAAUAAUGUUGACUAAAUAGAAAAUAUAGAAUAAUGUCUACAUAUAGAAUAGGUAAUAGAGAAAUCCUCAGUAGUAGCGGCGUAGUUGCUUGGUCGCCACAUUAGUCGUGGCUUGGUCAUUAGUAGUUGCUUGGUGAAUCAAACUCACAACUCGGGCUUUUAACUGAAACAGGGAAUUGCACUCAUAAGUCAUAAAUCAGCAACUGGGGCUUUCAACUCAAAACAUCAAAUAUGACUCCUUUGCUAGUAAGUAUCGAACUCCAGCAUACAAGGCUAUAGCUCAAACCAUGAAUCUAACACCGCUAGCGCAACUUUCACUUCAAACAAGGAAACGCACUAAUGCUCCCAAGGCUUAUUCCUAACUUUCUUUCUUUAACUAUGGAAACCGAAUCUGACUCUCUCCUUUAAGGCUUAUACUUAUUGCUCGAAUUCUCACUUAUGUUUUUUCCACUCCCUUCUUCGAGCAUACCUCUCUUUGUUUUGAAACUGAAACCCAUUAGCGGCAUUCCCCAUCUGUUGUUUGAGUCCUUUAAUGCUUUAUCUAAUUCUCCAACAAGUGUGUGCUCCUUAUACUUGACCCACUGGCUCCUCAUCCUUUUCCUGAUAAUAAGGAAUGAAAAUACUACCGACAAGGAUCGAACUAAGCAGUCCAAGGCCAAGCCAAUCAACAGUCAGAAUUGAACUAAGUUGUUUAAUUCAGUACUUGCUCCCCGGCUAAGCAUCCUGGCUAAGCAUACUGUCCCUUACGCUACUCCUACUAGAAGUAACUACAACUCCCGGUAUCUCGGGCUAAAGUCUGCUACCGGUAAACUGCUCCUGACACCAUGAACACUUGUCUAGUCGUUGCUUGGCCCCCCGCAUCAAAGCCAGAUCUUUCGAUGCUCUUGUUCUUGCCCCGGACAGGAUGGACUUGCCCCGGACAGGAUGAAUGUAUUAUUGUUGCUCUACUACUUGUGUGAAGCAAUGAGAAAAGAGAGAUAUUCAGUAGUGUGAAGCAAUGAGAAAAGAGAGAUAUUCAGCAAUUAGAGUGUCGGUGCUAUAGGUAAUGAUGGUGCCGGUGCUAUAUGCGAUGGUUGGUGCUCUAGCUCUAAGUCUGCUCGGUGCUAUACUCUAGCUCUAAGUCUGCUCGGUGCUAUAAAAGAAGUAAAUGCGCUACCAAUUAGGUAUUAGGGCCUAUUGCUAGUAAGUAUGGGAAUGCGCUACCAAUUAGGUAAAGAGGGAAGUCAAUUAGAGAAUCAGAGGUUGGAAAAGAAAGGUGAACUCUGGUAUGCCUGCUUAGCCUGUAUGCCCGGUAUGCCAGCUUGGCCCCUAUUCUGAGUAUUCUAUCUGAAACUAUUUAUUUGAUACCGGAAUGAGGCUAAUCCACCUUAAUUAUGACUUGAACUUAUGGUUUCUAUCCCUGUUGCUACUGUUGCUUGUUGAGUAGUGUCUUGGCGGUUAACUCUUUUGAACCGAGCCCAGAGCAGAGGGAUUCAGCUACCCCAAUAGCCUAGCCUAGGUAUGAUUUGUAUAGAUUUGUUUGUAACAGGACAGGCGAGCACCCAGCUUUUCUUCUUUAGAAGAUGAUUUUACCCGAAAUUCUUAGUGUAGUCCAGCUCCAUCUGUGGCAAACGGGAACGAAAGGAGGUCCACUCUAUUCUGAAAGGCGGGAGCGGGGCUUGACUCUGAUCUUCUCUUGCUCCUACUUACACGGCAAAGGAUGAAGUUUCUUACCUUGGGCACAGGGCGAACAGAGAGGUAUCGGAUAAGAAUGCAGUUGGAUGAGAUGCUCUAGUCCAGAGGAAAGGUAGGCGAGAAAGAGGAGAAUUCCAUUAGUUGACUUAGCCACCGGGUAUCUCGGGCGAAAGUCUGCUACUGGCCCUUAAGUGAAUUGGUGAGAGUGGAGGUUGGAAAUGCAUAAAGUACUGGCGGCGAGGUAGACUUUUGAGUUGUUUGUUGGCGCAAGGAAAGGUGCUUGCUUGCCCUAUUCUUAGUUGCUAUAAGAGUAGUUGACCCCAUUCUUAGUUGCUAUAUAUAUGUUUACCCCAUUGUUAGUUGCUAUAUAUAUGUUAACCUCAUUGUUAGUUGCUAUAUAUAUAUCAGUAGUUGAAAUACACUAGAUCGGACCCGCACUGGAAAGUAUCUCGGACUAGAUCAGAUCCGCACUGGAUGGAUUGUCUCUCUCUAAGCCAACUACUCCGAUAACUACUAGGGAUUCUAUCCCACUUUCAUUCUUUCUUAUAACAGAUAGAUAACGGAUUCCACAAGCUCAGCAGAGCCAGCAGGGUUCUCUGUCAGCGAACCUCUAUCCCAGUAGAUACGCUCAUGUGAGAGAUAUCGAUGCUGCUCCAAGAUACGAUAAACAACCACGGGAAUCUUCAGUUCUUCAGAAACUUUGAGAAAGCCGGAAUAACCCUGUGAAAGAGUAUUUUCCAAAAGGCAGCCAGCUUAGAGAAGUUGCUCGGGGUGACUCGUUGAUUGUAAUCUUAUUAUAUCAUUAUAGUUGUAAGGAAAAAGUUCGGUGGGGAAGGCCAAUUUAUUUGUGAUUUGAGAAAUUGUGAUUUGAUUGUUUUCCAAGGUAAGAAACAUAAGCCUACCCGACCCCAGUAAUAGAAUGAGUAGUUGAGUUGAGGUCACCACCCUAACAAGUCAGUCAACAACACUACCCGAGUGAGUAAACCACCAGCCAAGGAACUACUACUGUGUAGCGGCAGGAGUUCUUUCAGCACCCGAACGCUCUCCCAUACCUUCCUCCCACUGCUAAUGCGCUAUAGAUUGUACCCCAGAAAUAGAAGCAAGUAAAAGAAUUUCUGAAUUGAGAAUGGACCUCUGCUCUUACCAAGCCCAGUUGAUCUGGCACCCUCGAAAGUCACAUAAUAGUAAUACUAAUAGUUCUUUGACUCCGAUACAUCUUUCUUUUCUUUCCUAUUUACCUAAACUCCGACUUAUACUAAUGACUCUUUCUGAACAGAACCACUUGCCCUCUGAUUUGAUUGAUUUCGUAGUAGAAUCCUUUCACUACUGACUAUCGGAUUGAAGCCCGAGCUAGGUAAGAUAGAAUCCAAUCCGGUAACACUUCGCCUAGUACUCUUUCUUGCGAACCCUACUUUCCCACGAGUCUGUCUCCCUUAGUUACAGUCAGAGAAGAAGACCGGUUAGUAGAUCCCUUAUUCUGAUUAGUCGUGGUUUAAUACUUUGUAGACUCCUUUCUUUCACUCCGGACUCCUUUACUAGUAUACGCUUGGCCCCGCUUCUGAUCUUUCGUAUGAUAGCUAAGCCAGAAGAGAGUGCACAACCAAUGUCAGAGAGUAAACAGACACUGCAUUGCUUUCAGGCUCAAGAGCAAUAGGGCGAACGGCGAACUCAAAGAAAUCUGGACAUAUAGGAGGACAAUAAGUGUUUAGUUUGUGAAUAAGUUCCAGAACUCAAGAUAGCUUAAUGAUUUUCAAGAAGCAACUCGGGUCGGGGUGCGAAAGAAGCUCAUGGAGUGGAGUCUCAUAUGGAUACAGUAAUUAGAGAAUCAUAGGUGUUUGUGCCGCCUUCCCUUGUUUGUCCCGCCUUCCAAGUACUAAAUCAAAGUGAGAGUUCUGUUCUGCUCGCCGCAAGCGGGUUCGAUGUCGGUGCUUGACCUAGUAGUGGUAAAAGUGAGUUCAUUGAGGAUGAGGAUGCCCAAUAUUGAUUCUUUUCCUUAAGCAAGGGAACAAGCCACAGAAUCAGUAUACGGAUACUGCUCCAACUCUAACUCUAACUGCCAAGCCAAUGAAGACGGGCGAAUACGAUUCUAUUAACUCCUAUAACUCCUAUGUAGUAACUAUUGAAUACCUUAACAGCGGACUAGCGCAUUCAUAGUCUCAAAAAGUAUGUAUUAGGAGUUUCAGAUCCUUUAUUUAUUAUUAUUCGACUUACUAAUACUUACUUGCUACAUCAUUAUUCAUUCUAAUACUUACCAUUGUGAAGUUACUUCUAAGAAUCCGAAUUCAACAGGAAAGUUGGAAUGGAAUUGUUGAGUACAUAGCAGGUUAAGAGCAAACCAGCAAGGCGACUUGUGCAUUUCAUUCUGUAUUCUUAGUUUUCUUCUUCUACGAAGUGUGACCUGAUACUGGGCUAGGGAAGUGUUACCGGAUACUAGGUUGGGACCUUCUUAAGAGCACACAGUUGGUUACCAGAUUCUCUAACAAGUGCUCCAUAAGAGAUAUAUGACAAUUAUGACUUUACUAUAGCGCAAGUCCUGGUUUCGAGUACAGGCUUUUAAGCCAUAACAGUAGAGAGCGCAUCUUAAUGACUUUCGAGUUGAGUUCAAAGACUUAGUGGGGAGUUUACAUUCCUAAACGGCAAGGGAGUUCGGACUGCUUCAUAAGGCUUAGAUGCGGGUAGGUAAUUCUCAAUAAAUAGGAUUUUCUGAACUUCAAGAAGAGUUCGGGAAAAGCAAAAGCAAACCAACCUGUUAGGUUACGGAAUUCCAUACAUGUGCUCGAAAGAUGAUUUGAAUGUUGCUCCACCUAUUGCUGGCUCUGCUCUAAAACAUAUUAUUGCUGGCUUUGCUCCACCAGCUUACUGCUUGCUUUAGCCUCCGAUUCUCUCGCUUACUUUUUCCAAUAAAAAGGGGCUAUCCAGAAGCUCUGCAUCGCUAAAGUAUAAAGUCAGGGGCUCCAUAGUGGAUCUCGCCAAAGCAUCCUUUCUUUCUUAGCACCAAAGCAUACUCACUUACAACUGUGAAACUACACUCCAUUAGCACAAGUCAACAGUCAAAUCUACUACCCCCAGAGGUAUAAUAAAUUGAAGAUAACUAACCCAGUGCUCUUCACCCACCUCCCCGCUCGCUACCGCCACGAAGACCCAAUUAUGGAGUUUUCGGGUUUACAGUAAUAGGAAACUAGGCAAGUCGACUUGGCUGACCUCGAACUGGAACAACAGGAAAUGAAGCAGCUGACACUCGCACAACGGAUUCAGUUACUGCACAGCAAACAAAUCAAUUAUGGAAUCUCCAUCUUGAUCUUGUGCAUAUCUAAUAGGAAUUGACUCUAGAAAACCUAUCGCUGUCAGGUCAACUCAACCAAGCACUUAGCUAUAACGUUCUUAUGCUUUAUGAACUCCACUUUCUUCACCGACUUAACUGUCAACUUUCAACCUUACUAAACUUGAUGAUUCUUCAUCGACAACAAACAACACUAGUUUAUCGCGCAACUGGUAACUUACCCUUUAGACUUUACCUUACCACCGGAGGAGAGCUUAUUUGAUUUCUAUUGUGGAUUAAACUCGCACCGAACCUUUCUCUACCGACUCGGGAAAGCGAUUCAAUAAGGUAGAUAGGAUUCAACAAUAACCUCUCUGCCAAUAACCUCUAUCUCUUGGGGACAACGCAAGAACAGACAGAAACAACACUGCUUAAGCGUUAAGUGGGCAUUAAAAAGGAGAUCUUCUUCUUAAUACGUACGAUUCCACUCGCCCAGCUUCUUUAUCUUUAAUAGAUUCCACUCGGGAUUAAACGGAAAGAAGAUAGUACUGGUGUGCGAUAUGAUGAAACUAGAACAGCACUUUCAACACCACCUAUUGCUGCUGACAAGCGAACUGAAUUAAUGGCCUUAACCGCUACAUGGGCAUGAGAUCCUGAAAAUACAGAUGAAACAGGACUACUACUUGUCAACUGGAACAGCUAGGAAGAGAGAAAACCAGCUUGAAAUGGAAUUCUUUUAGGCUUUUCUGGCUCCCGAAGACAUAGCAAGUAAUAAAGAAAUUGUACUGUAAACUUGUAUAUAAGGGUCCACUCCACUGUAAAGAACUUAACUCUACACACUGCAACAAGCGACGGAGCAAGCAACGCCCUCCCGCUUAUAUAAUGACACUACUCGUAACUCCUAUAACUAGCAAGUCAAUACAGGAUUUCACUGAACAAAACUCCCGUAAGCGCAUCUCUGAUUUUCUCUCUUAUCUUAUCACUCUUGCUGCGCAGAGGCUUUCACUCAUAAUAAAGUCAUAUUACCCUGUUUCUAUACUAAACAAUACUGGCUUCUUUCCCUGAAGACUCUUCCAGCGCAGGAGCAAGUCAUCAAGUUCAAGGACUGGAGACGCUGAAUCCGUUUCUCAUUCCAUUCUGUCUUUACUGUGGGGUUACAUAGGAUUAUUGUUGCCAACUAAUACGGCCAACUUCGAUUACACUCGCACCGAUACAAUCACCUGAACCUCUCGAGUCGACAACAAACACUCGCACAGAACCUUGAUACAGUGGAGGUGGAGCUGACUUUCGCCCUUGAGACUUUCCUUCUUCUGUGGCUUCUGAUCUCGCUUCUGCUUCAAAGCUAGUAUAAGAGAUUCUGUCCUUCAUCCUUCUUUGACACCUGAUCGCAGAGGCGGUCACUCUUUUCUCGCUGCUUUCAAUAUGAAGUUGUCAAGUGAAACAGUCAAACUAACCUGCCUAUAAAAAGAAGGAAGAUUACCCACGCCCCCGCUGCUAUACCCUUCACUGAGCUCUGUUGUGGUAGGUUUGGUUUUCCCUUUGCUGAACCUCUUGUAUAGAGGGUUGGAAUAUGACCUGUAUCUAUGCAAUACCCAGCAUCCUUAUCGUAUGCUUAUAACCUAACCCUGAUGUUUGCUCCUAACCCAGUUGACCCGUGCCCUUAUUGAUAUAACACUCGCUCGCACAGCUUCUGCACUUGCUGGUUCAGCUACCUAUGCUAUGCUCUUUGGUUACUACUUUCUUCUAUAUAAUGUCAGUCAGUUGGGGGGAAGUCUCAGAAUCAUGUCAGUGAUUUGAAGAACCAACAACAGGACUUGAAUGUCCAUCUUUAUCUUGACAUUAAGAGUUUGUACGAAUUAGGAACUUGUUCCGUUUUCAUAGUACUAGCGUUGAAACAAGGUGUGGUGGAGUAUCGGAUUCAAAAGAAAGGGAAGCUCCUGGGGAAAAUCAUUCUAUACCAUAGCUCACUAACGCUGGGUAAAGGCAUUCUAUACCAUAUCUAACUAACGCUGACUUUCCGGCUCACUAUAGCGGAACGGGCCCUCAAUCCAUUCUUAGUUCCGUGCAGAAUCUAUUACAUACUUUCUUUGCAGCUCGCCCGUUAGCGCAGAUCAAUUUCACUGUUAACUCAACAACUCUGGUGGGCACCCCGGAGAGUAAUCGUUAUCGCCUUGCUUGUUUUAUUGACUUUAGCUCCAACAGAAAGGAAAGGAUUAUUUCCGAGUUACCGACAACUACGUCGUAAUAGCCGGGCCACAUAAGGGAAGGGUUCCGGCUGUAAACCCAUAUUUCUGGUCAUUUCACCUAUGUCUUGCGGAGCUUAUGGAAAAUUCGCUAUAAUAGGAGUUUCCCGCGACUCAAAAGAAAAUAGGAUCUUGCUUCCGGCCUGGCCUCUGAUUAAAGAGUGGACUUUUCUCAAUUACCUCUCUAUACCGACUCGGGAAAGCCAAUCACUUCUAUCUCUCCACGACCGACGUCAAUUAGACGACCACUGUAAGCUUCUGAAAAGUUAUAUACUUCAGUAUCAGUACCAAUACCACCGCACUCAUAAGGGUGUUUAGUGACUUUCUUUUCUUCUAUUCCUAAAAGAUCUAUAAGAAUGAUUCUUCUAUUCUAUAAGAUCCAUAAGAAUGAGCACUUAAGAGUGUUUUGCUACUUUGCCAGAUCAGUUGUGUAAGAGAAUAUAGAUUCCUAUAUUAAGGCAAUACUACUGGAUUGGAAAUUAGACUCUACGCGCAAGCACUUUAGGUCUCCCCUUUGCUUACGGGGGAACGAGAUACUUACUUCAGUAGAUACGCGACAACAAGACUUUAGACUUCUCUUGCAACAAAAGUAGGCGAGUGUAUGUAAAGUGAAGUAAAUAAAGAAUUGCAAGCAUUAUCACCCGCUCGCUUUAGCAUUUCGAUUGAUAGACUCGGUUGUAUUCUGGAACUUGAACGGAACGAUACUACAUCACGGAGACCAACAAACUACUACAACUACUAAUCCAUAUAUUCUUUACCUAUGCCUUGAACCAGAUACUGUUUAUCUAUCUACUACUCUAUGUAUGGCUUCAGAUCCCUUAGAUUCUUUUGUUCCGUAUCCUUCUCCUGCUCUACCAUCUUUCUAGUUUUAGGCUUGAACAUCUCUGGAUACAGGAAUGGAUUUGAAUGGAGUCUAUCGAACACCUAGUCCUAGUAUGGAUUUCCGUAAAUACACAGAUCUGCCUUUUGAAGCUAUGCUAUGGUUGGUUACCCCCUUUUCUAUUGAGCAUCACAUAUAAGUGAUUGAAGCUAUGCUAUGGUUGGUUACCCCCUUCUAUCUAAUGCUAAGGAGUUCUGUUAGCUUACUUUGCAAGGUGCGGUUGUUAGAUUCUAGUUCUUAUUUGAAUUGGAGUAGCAGGGUACGACCAGUAUGGAGAAAGUGCUUUCUUCGUUGGCGCUAACAGAGUCGAGCUCCUGUGUUCAUCGGCUAAUGCUGACUUUCGGGCUUAUUGAAGUGAUUACGCUUACUUUCGCAUAGGUAGGUUGGUUCCACUCGUAUUUCAUUCAGUACAACUAGCUUCUGGUCGUCAAUGUGCCGCUUACGCUUUGCGCUCAACGUAGUGGAAGUGAGUUCUUUAUCGCUCUGUGGGCUACAGGGUCUUUAUCAUGAGAAUGGCCUUAUUUACUUGGAUGAUAGUCUUCUUUAGCGCCCAGACAGACAGCCCUUGUGUUGAGGAAAUAGAUUUCCAGCGGAAGAAGCAAUAAAUGAGGGAGUUUAGUCUCGUAUGACAGUUGGGUAAUUAUGGAAUAUGAGAUUAAGCAGUUUAGGCUAAAGUCAGGUCAGAGCCAGAGAGCCUGCAGUCAUGCUGUUCCAGUUUUCUCAACAAGAGAAAGAAAUAGUAGAUUCCAAGUAAGGGUAAGUGAAGGAGAGUCAUCUUUGGCGCAAGCAAGAGAUAGAUGGAAAUGAAAACAUAACUUGCCAAUUGCACACCUUAACCUUAGGAGUUGAUAAACCAGUGAUUAUUACCCCUUUGUUUAGUUGAGAAACCUGUGAAUUACCUCCUUGUGUAGUUGAUAAACCUGUGAAUUACCUCUUUGUGUAGUGUUAGGUCUUACAUAACAUGGGUUUGUAUCUUUCUGUUCGAGAAGAAGAAAUAGCAGCGCCGAGAGAAUCAUAUAGAUCUAGAUUUGCAGCUGUAGAAAAGUAAGCAGUAUAAGGAGUAGUGGAAAGUAUAGUUCGUUCGGCAAAAGGGGAUAGAGUUGAGUCUCAUAUAGAUGUAAGUCAUUAUUUCAGAAGAGGAUUGAUCUGCACACUAACAGGAAAGGGAGUUUACCUGACAGCGAGAGAUAUAGGUUCCAGUGUAAGUAAAUCCGGUGUUAAAGCAAGAGAACGAUCAGACUCAGUUUCAAUAGAAUCCGUAGUAACAGAAUCAGUAGUUCGAAAGGAAAGUGCAAGUGUUGUUUACGAGAUCAUAAGCAUGAUAGGUGUUCCGUUCUUAUUUCAUCUUAGAGAUUCGAAUCCGUUUCCUACGAAUCAGAGGCCAGAAAAGAAUUAGACCAUUUCAUCUUGUUGAGCCGUUACUUGUUCGUUUUGCUCCAACUUCCCUUACGCCUAGUGCCACUCUAGAAUUGGAAUAUGACUUUAUUUCUCUCACCUAGCCUAGUAUAUAACCUAUGUAUGAUUGUAAAGAAUCUAUCUAUCUAUCUUAUGAAUCUGACCGGAACCUAGCUUUACUGGCAAUGAGAGUCGACUAACGGAUGAAACUCUAGAUAUGAAAUAAGACCCGCUAACGCAACAAAUCCUACUCCUGAUGAUGAUCCUUAUCUUUCUGCCUCACCUGCUCCAGACUGUCUUUAAUUGAAUCAAUCUACUCCUCCUUGAAUUCAUGGAAUCCUUCUUGCUUAGUGGAACAUAACGCCUUGUUUCUUGGGCCUAAGCUUGUUGAGUCGAGUUUGUUGUUUGUGCCGUUACGUCUUCUUCUGUUACGCUAAUGAGAGUUCUUUCGUCAUUACUUGAUGGAAGUACAAAGCAGUGAGGUUUCAAUAAGCAGGGAGAUUAGGUUACAAAAUAUGGAUAUGGAGUAAGUGCAUGAACAAAAUAGAGAGUAGGUGCGCAUGAACAAAAUAGAGAGUAGGUGCAUUCAAUUCAUAAGAAACAAGGAAACAAGAUAAGGUGCGCCGAGUAAGUAAGCGGGCUAAGUUCCUCUAUCUGAGUUCUAUAGGGAGGAGCAAUGCAGUAUUCUAUUAAUCUCUCUCUCUCUUUUCUUUAAGUAAGCAGUUUGGUUACCGAACAAGCAAAUGGUCCCGUUGCACGUUAGGAGAGUUCGAUUUCAUCUAUGCCUCCUCUGUUCAACUUAGCUAAGUGGUAAAUUGUUUCAACGUAGCGGUAAAGAACUUUCACUGACUUUCAUGCUUGGACCACGUGUUGGCUUUAACACCUGAUAGUCCUAUCUUUCUCUUUCCCGAUGACUUGAUACAACACCUCAGCAGAUAGAGUUUAUUCACUACUGUCUACGAGAACAAGUAAACUAUACCGAGCGAGAGGCAACUAGAGAUUCUUCAUUACAGCCAAUGACAACAGGUAAACUAUGUAAAGCUAAUAUCCAAUGAUAACAGGUAAACUAUGUAAAGCGAAUAUAUCUUUAAGCACUACUGGGCGAGAUCUACUUUCUUUUGUUGGAUACUGAAACCUAUUGCCUUUGCUUUUCUUACCCGACUUAACCUAUAGGACAUAAUUGAGUCUUUCGAGACCUUAGAUGGGCAAGAGAGAGUCAAGGGAGAAACCGAUGACCAUCAAACUCCCGAAAACAAGACUGGAAGUUCAGCUGACCCCAACACCGGCGCAGUUGAUCAUUCCAUUCCACAAUUCCAACUGUUAAUUGAACUGAUUGAACUGAUGCACUAGUUUCGGGCAAUAGUCCUCAUAAUUAAUGGAAUCUUUAUGAGGUUAAGUAUAAAGUCACAGGGGUGUGGUAGGGCAGUAGUACUUACUGUUUCAGCGGGUUGUGGUCCAAGUCUCUUCAGUCAGAUCAGGUUCCUACUUCUUCUAUUGUAGACUAGGAUUCCACCUGAACUUUCUUCACCGACAACACCCGAACUCCUAGAUGCGCUAAUUUUAGGGGGCAUUGACUUAUCGCUUGCAACAGCAACUUACUUAAAUACUUCCUUCGCUUACCACUUCCUUUUCCACAGCUCCUUAUUCUGCUGAUGAUCCCCAGAUAUUUAAACAACUUAUUAUGCUUACUUUUCACUUGCAGCUGACUUAGACACAAUAACUCUACUUUCGUACACAUACCUUCGAACUUGAACUUCUAAAGAAUAGCUUUAGCCCAACUUCAGUGUAAAGAAAGGGGAAGUCGUUCUGAGAAGUGUUGUGCUAAGUCUGGCAUCUGCCUUACCUUUCUUUGCGGGAAAUUGCUCCAAUCUCUGACCUCUUACUUCGAUUUCACGCUGGUGAAAAACUCUGACUUUAUUUACUACAGCUAUUCCCUUUCACUCUAUUCCACUCUAGUUUAUUACCUAUAUACCUAUCUCUCGAGCCUGCCCUGGUUAAUCUUUCCCGCCCUAUAUACUGGAAAAUCCAAUAUAAGUAAAUAGAAACUACUACUGGGAAAAAACGAACACUAAUUCGACUUCCUUUUCUGUUCACGGAUAGCAAUCCUAUCUAAAUGAACUAACUCUUCCUUCCUAGCGGGACUCAUAAAGAGGAGUGGGAUAAGACUGCAAGCACCCUCUUAGUAGCAGCUCUUUGUUACGAUAUUAUUAUUUGUUAUCGAAUCGCUUGCCUUUCCCUUGAUGGAGCAAACCCACAACCUGUUUUCGACGAUAACCUCAUGGCAAAAGUGCUCAUAAACUAGAAAGUGACUAUCAGUGCAGCCACAUGGCUUGAUGUCUACUGGUUCUAUCAAACCAGCUUGGAAAUACCUUCCUUCCGAAAAUGGAUUCCAGAUGGCCAGCAAAUGAGGGGAUAGCUGAAGCGGCUGCCCGCAUCCCACCUCCCUGAGACAACUGACCUCUUUCUGACUUCUGCCCGUAGGGGAAAUGGAAGAGCAAAUGAAAUGCAUCCUACUUACGUAAGUGAAAAGUCCAUCCUACUAACGCAAGUGUGUUUGCUUAUCCACUUUCCAGUCUUUAGGUAUGAUUUCUAUUUAUUCAGACCAGAAGAAUGUGAUGAAAGGCUAACUCGCAGUUGAAAGUGUCUAUUUAGUUCCUGGAUUGAUUGAAUCUGAACUUGACUUGCACUGACCCCAGGAAUAAAAGAAUAAGAGGAGCUGUCUGAGGAGAUUCCAGUAAGAAAAGGUCCUACUAACUACACUUCUAAGCGGGGGCCCUCCCGGUAUCAAUGUAUGAUGCUAAAAGCAACCUGAGGUGAGCUUGUUACGACUUCAAUCGGUGAUUCCUCGUUCCUUUAUAUACUUAUUCUAACACCAUAUUGAUUAAUGAAUUUCUUAUGUCAAUUGACCUUGAACUAUGAUGUAUCUCGUUUUUCUUUUGUUCGAUCAGUCAAACCAGCUACCGAAAGAUAGAAAGUCAAUCCGUUACCAUGAUUGAUAGGAUGAUUAAGCAAGGAUGGAAAGCCCCUUCUUUGCUUGCUUUUCUGAUCUCAUUGUGGAAGUACCGCGUCAAGAUGGUUUUCUAUGCAAUAACGAUAUAGCUCUUCAAGACAGAUUCGUGAACGGUAAAUCUACGCCAUGGAAGUGUCAUUGCUGAAUGACUUGUCUGCUACCAACUCCUUCGGGUAGGCCCAACCACCACACUCUUAGCAUGGUUAACGGAGCACCAACCCAAUCUCGAUCUUUGAAAGAUGUUCUGUUCACAUACAAGCUUUCACACAUGGGCACUGAUAGUAAGGAAAAAUCACACUUUAUAGAAGGAAGUGGCCUUGCCAAGUAUAGUGGACACGAUCCCAGUUGUAAGCAGCAUUUUCCUAGCGGCCGAAAUGAAAGGAAGGUUGAUCGAAGGAUCUCCAUGAAGCAGAAAAUACCGCCCUCAGACGAUAUGAAUUGGAUUUGAUCUCCCUCUUGUAUACGCCAUUUGGAGGUUCACCUUCUUCAAUGACCUACUGACACUUCACUUUUGGAACGAGCAUGGAAAGACACUGUCAAAGACGGACGCCCCAGCCGACUAUGCCCGGGUCAAUAUAACAGUCAAUCCAAGGCAUGAUAGCAGUGUACUGAAAGGGCUCAAGAGCAUGUCUUCUUUUAGACCAUAGCCAUAAAGAUAAGAGUACAACCCAGAAAGCCAUCUUGUAGAGAAUGAACAGUAGAUUUGGGCAACCAUGCCAAAACCAAGCUCAAGUUCUGUCAACAACACGAUGUUUCAUGCGAUGGAAUUCCCCGGGAGACUGCUUCAAAUUCAAAGCAAUCCGAGAGAUGCCCUUCAGAAUGAAUGAAGAUUGGGAUUUGACUCCCUAUGGACCAUCUAUAAAGGGGAACUGCUCUAUUCAUACAGAUUAGACGACGGUUGGUUCCACGCUCUUCGUUAGCGGAAUAAAGACAAGUGGCUGCUGCUUACAUUAUAUACUCCUUCACUGAGUAGGAACUAAGGAAACUGAUCCUCCCUCUUCGAUCUCUUCGACCUCCGGUCCGCUAUGCUCUUUGUAACUAGACCCUCUGAACCUAGUUGGAAAUGAUUUCCCCCCAGUGGCCCGUAUAAUACUUCCUGUCCACUAAACAAAACGGAUGAAUUGCUUGCUGGCUUGCUAACGUAAUGACUGCUCACUCUGUACCCACUCAUUCUUCCUGGCAAUGCAAGGGAAGCCCCAUACACGACUUUUGAAAUCUAGCGAAGCGCCUUGUUAUACACUUCUUCGAUUUAGGUUGUAGCGGCGCACGUCUAAGCAAGUUGGCCGGCCUAUCUUCUGAGUAAGUCUUCUUCAUAUUAUGAUAAAGUACUAUACUAGAUAUGAGAUCUUAUCUUCUUCGGAUAUACAUAUGAGAUAAGUGUGAGUCACAUAAUGACACCAGUAAGUAAGGAGUCAACAAAACAACCCCAUCAUCAAGAUCGGCGUAUUGCCUGCCAGCCUUUAUGACGAUUUCUGAUCGGAGGUAGUUUAUUCACUUAUAACAAGGCCCUUUCAGGGAAACAUCAAGUUUGGAUUCCUGUUAUUCUAUUCUAACUCAACUCAGCAAGACGGGCCGAGCGUUCGAAAGCUGGGCUGCAAGCAAUUUCGCUAAGCUCAGUUCAGGGUCAGUGUGGAUGUCUGUCAAUUGGAGCAAGGAACUAGCGGAACGCAAACAGUGGAACUUCGGACUGGACUAGUAUGAAACUCAAAACAAAAGACUUGUAUCAGUGCAGUCGUCAAAGUAGUGUUAGCCAAGACUUGACUUUUGGAGGAAUAGCAAUAGCCUAAAUCUCACUUUCGAUAGCGUCUCCCUCACUCUGAGAUCGCCUUCACUUUUAGCACUCCUCGGCAUGAAUAUGAAUUCCAGCUGCUCCUAUAAAGGAAAGAAGGGGCUAUAAAUAGGUCAAUCAGGCUCUCCUCUUUCUUUGUAGUUUCCCCAAAUACUCAAUAUUCAUUUGAAUAGCAUAUAGAAAGCAAAAUAGUCCUUAGUUAGCUGUCUUUUGAAAACAUUUCUUAGUCGACUUGAGAAAAGUAUUAAGAGAAGGAAGAAAGGGUAGAUCUACGCCAUGAGAAAGCUUUACCUCCUAAGAGCUUUUCUAUCCUACACAGGAAAUCCCAGGAGCUAUCAACAUAGAAAGAAAGGACUAUUGAAGACUUGCUUCAGAAAGGGCAACUAAGGAAACUACUUUAUACAGUAGUGGGGAAUGCAAAAUCAAUCUAAUUGGUCGAAUGAGCAAAUCCUUAUCUACUUCUUAGGUUAUCCCGACUUAAGCAAAGAAAGUAUUAAGAGAAAGUCUGACGAAAGCUAUGAAACGGACAAGCUCAGAGCUAUCUAUCCACAGCUCCGCAGGCCUCUCUGCUGACCACAAGAAUUAGGCUAAAGCGCAAGUUUUGAGUUGGCUGGAUAUCCACAUCCUCGACGACGUUCUGUUUCGCGGGGGAACCAAAGAAGAAUUCUGAAUCUGAUGCCAGCGCCACUCCUGCAAGAAAUAUUGGCAACCCCAUAAGGGUUAGCAUGGAGCAAUGGAUUCCACGGGUUCUAGAAUUGGAGUUCUAGGCAGGGAGGGAGGAACUUCCCCUCUUCAGCUUCAGGGGCAGCUAGGAGGUAGCUCGUUAGCUUUCGAAAUCAAUUAGUCAAAAAGGAGUGCCAUUGCGAUCCUGCAGCUAUCUCUCCUUCACCUUUGCCUUAAUUCUGCCAAUGGUUCUCCUGGAAAUCCAUUCAAUGGAGCAGCUUUCAGGUCUCGUUUAUCCGAGUUCAAUACUAUUAUGAUUAUUACCGCUACAUGGGUCUAUCAAAGCUCUUCCUUAUCUUCAUCUUCUCUUUCCUAUUGGUGUACAAAAAGUGAGAAUAUGUAUAUCAAACAUCUGAUUCUGGUUCAUCUAGUCCUAAUUUAGUGCUAACUGAGCUAGCUCGUGGCUUGGUCUUCAGUGACAUGAUCUUCCCUUGGGUUCACUUUGAAGCCUAUUUACUUACUCCACUGCAUUGAAGUUGAUUAGCUUUAUGCUUAGCUACAUUUUCUAUUCUCAAUAGCCAGAUAGUGAAGAAAGAAGGGCGGUCUCCUCCUCAUAAGUAAGUGUAGAGAGCUUGCAAGAAGCUUUCCCCUGCUAAUGGCUUUCUUUGAUGGCUUUUCCUCAGGGUAGAAAGGCUAUGCUUUAAGGGUCCUCUCUUUCGGAGGGCUUGCUUACUUUGCCAGGACAGGAGCGUCGUCUUUCUUAUCUUUGCUUGAAUGGGAUUCGUUUUCGUUUAGUAGACAUAUAGCUGAUGGAUAACCUUAGGCUAGUAGUUCAAAAGAAGGCAAUGUGAAUUGAUGGUUUAGAUAGACUUGAGGAGAAGAGAAGCCUCUUACCCAGCCCGCACCGCACCGUAGGGAUUAGUAAACUGUUCCGAUCAGGACUAAACACGAAAUAGAGAAUAAAAGGAUACGGGUCCCUGGGAGACAAUCCAUAUUCUGAAUCCGAUUUCGCCACGGAACUACAUUCAAAUAACACUAAAGAUAAGGCGGCUCAUUCUUGGGUUCUUGUGCCACUAUAGGCUCUUUCUUCCCUUACCUAUGGGAACUCACGUAGCCCAUCCAUCUACCAGCAAAGACAGUGAAAUCGGUGCUCAAGUAUAAUAGUAUAGAAUAUGAAGUAGUAAGCGCUUUCUUUCGUCGGCCGUCCCUCCCGUCCUUAGCUUAGAUCCAUCCAUCCUCUUUCUACUUUACCUCCUACCUAUCAACGCCUAACACCGUCUUUUAGGGUUAGUUAGGGUGACUUCAGAAAAGACUCCGUUUCGAAUAGAACUCGCUCUCUCGAGCCAUGGGCAUAUCAGCUUACUCAUAUAGGAUAUGGGCAUAUCAGCUUACUCAUAUAGGAUCAAGGGCUCCCUUAUUUAUAAUACGGAUUCAUUUAAUACUUUGGAAUACUUCCCCAGUAAUAGCCCCAUUCAUUUGAAGAGUAAUAAACCUUUUUCCCUAGAAUAUUGUGAAAAGGAAAGUAAGGACCUCCUCCUUAUUCUAUUCUAGCUGCUGCGCCUAUUUCGGAUUCUGCGAGAAAUCAUACUUCUUUAUAGAUCCACCUGAGAAAGGAGAGUCCAUCUACUUCAAAUGGGUAUCUAGAAUCAGAGGCAGUGCCGAAGCUGUUCAGUAUACUAUGCAAUUCCAUCAGUGUCUUCAUCGGCGUAAAGUAGAGGUAGGGUUAGGUUAAAUCGACGAUAUAAGUUCUAUGAUUUCCCUUUGUUAUCAUAGAGAUAGAUAGGUUAUUGACCGAGUAGAAAAGAUGGGGCCCCGAGUAUCAAAUCCGUUGUUUCAAGCUAUCCCCUUUCCAUCACACUCCUGACUCCACUUAUACUUAAACGGAAACUAAUGAACUUAUGGCUUCAACUUAAGUACUCUCUUUUUUUAAGGAACUUUCCUUUGAGCGGGCAACUUCCUUUGGAAUGGUUGAUUAACCUUAUCCCACUUAUGAUCCGGAACUUGAUCUUGAUCCAACUUAUGCUUUAGAUCCGUAUUCUACCGUAGAUGAACUACUGCCAGCCUCCACUGGAAUGAACGAGCUAGCUGAUCCCCUUUUGACACUCGAACGGAAAGAGACCGAAAGCGGAAAUUGACAUUUACAUAGGAAUGGGAUUCUCGUCGCCAACACAGUCGGCUUAUCGGGGUGCGAAAGGAAAGGGGAAGUCCAGAAAAUCGCUAUAGGGCUAAUACUGAGCAGAGCUUCUUUCUAUUGUGGAUUACACUCGAACUGAUCCAGUUGCUUGUCUGCUGCUGACCUCUGACUUGCGCCUUAACCACUCCAUAGGAAGUAUAGAUUCGAUUCGACUAUAGGAGAUAACACUAAAACAGUCCAUUCGAGUCGACUACACUCGCACCUACCGAAUUAGCUUAAGAAGUGGAUCAUUCUGUCCGAUCUUAUUAAUAAGUAAUACGAUGAGAUUCACUUAACGCUGACUUCACCUCUUAUUCUGGAAGUGAAGGUGAAGACCCGCUGGCGGCUUCUUAUCUUGAAACAGCAACUGCUCCUGCAGGAUCCUAAUGAUUCUACUGCUCUUCCUUCCUCACCUGCUCUUGAUAACUGCUUAAACCUAUUCUGAAAGAGAAGAUUCGGCUUACUCAUACGCUCUCAUCUCAUAUAUGGAAUGGAAUAAUAGGGUACGAAUAUAGCACAUUCAUAAUAGGGUAUGCAUAUUGCACAUCUAGAUUAAUAUUCAGGGAUUAUAGCCUAUGUGUGAAGUCCAAAAACCAGAACAUAUGAGUGAAGAGAGUGAAGUGCAAAGGAAGUAUACUCGCACCCCAAGAUAGGAGUCAGAGGCACCCCUGGAGACUUACUAGUAUUCUCACUCAGUACCUUAGCGCUGAAGCAACAAAUCAUUCAUCAACUGGAAACACAGAAUUCCAACAGUUAAUUGAACUUUCGACAACAAAGAUCUCUUACUACCCACCCGGAGACAAAGAUUCCAUUAAUUCUUCAGACAGGCCUGUCCCAUCUUGAUAUGUACUAUACACUUAGGCAGUCCCCUUUCUGUUCUAUUCUAUUAUAGAAGAGAGAAUUCAAGUGUGUUUGCCGGAGGAGAGGUAGGACAAGUAGUGCUUCAAAGGUGGGGUGGUUCAAUCCAAUCUUACCUUGCUAUCGCUGACGUGGAUCUACCUGUUACUGAUGGUGAUCCAGCUUCUAUUGUUGGUGACAAGUGCUUUGUUAUAAGAUCUUAUUAUUGAUUGGCUUGAUUGACCUUUGUUGCCGGCGUUAGCUUGCUCUUUACACAGAUCUUUAUUCUGCCAUUACUUUCUUUCUUUCUUAUGAGAUUCCUCAGGCUAAUAUACCUCCUUCUGCUGGCUUUGGACAACCUUAUGGUUUUCUUACUUAAAGAAGUUAGCCUACCGAGUGCUCCGGCUCGCUAACUCGAAUGAAACAAGCAGCUGACUGACUUUCCUCGCCUCGCACCCUGCCAGACAAUCCACUACUACUAACGCAUUAACUACUCAACUCACUGUUUACUUAGUUCUCGAGCCAAGCCACCACUAGCAGCCUACAGAGACAGAGGAAUGAGCGAGAUCCGGCCUAAUACAUAAUUCCUGGGGCAAGCAAAACCAGUAGUAGAAACCAUCCCCUUGAAACACAGAAUGCAACUGGGGGAUCCCGCUGAUGAAUAGGGGAAUUGAUACCUUAUGUACUAGACAAACUACCCGCGUCUAGUAACAGACUUCAACAACUAACCUAGCCUAGGAAUAGAAUGAGUAGUUGAGAUCGAUCGGCAAGGGAGCUAGAAGUACUUCAGUUCUGAAUUGCUAUCCGCCCCAAGUCACUAGACAAGUAACGGGCAAGAGGAGAGGCCAGGAAGCUAAGCUAUAUGUACUGAAGUAAAGAAUGCAAACACUACCAACAAGAAUGAAACAAGAACUCGAGCAGCCAAGCUACGUAUACAAAGGCAAAGAUCAGACUUCAACCAGUAAGUGUAAGGCUGGUGAGCUACUCCUUAUUGCUAACCUAGGAAUAAGGCAUGGAAGAAUGGAACCACUAACAACCAGACUGCAACCAGUGCUAUAGAUCUACCCGGGCUACAUGAUCAAACUACAAAAAAGCAAUCGUACUUAAUAUAGUAAUAAGAAUCCAAGUAAGCAAACUCAGAACUCACUACUGAUACAUUAGAUAAGAAUUGACUCUUUCUUUACAACCCGCGGUAUCUUUCUCACCAACCGUAGCCUAGCCUAUUUCUGGAAUUUCAAGUAAACAUAACAACUUAUUCUAAUUAAUUGAAACACAUGAUCAGAAUCAAACACUAAAUCCUUUGACUGAAAUCACUACCGGAAAGAAAUGAGCUGGGGCUAUAGCACCAAACACUAUUACUUGCAUUAUGCUGAUCCUGGCUUAAAGUCUACUGCGGCACUCUCACCUCACUGAAUCGACUCACACUACUCCAAUAAGCAAGCGGCGACCCGAGAACAGAUAGUGAAACUAAAGAAAAAACCAACGGCAAUAAGGCAAAGAGUUGACCAGCGGAAGAACCUGUGUACCGAAAAGUGUUAGUUGACACUUGCAGAAGCAGACGUUGGUUGAUUUAGUCUAUAAUUGGGUAAUAUUCCAUCAAACAAGUAAUGGCUUGCAGAACUCCCUUUAGCCACUGAGUAUGGACCUGGCAUGAAGAAGGAGGGACAUUCUCUAAGUCAGGCAAUCAGGCUUCUUUCUAGUGCUAAUCGGUGAAAGCUGUAAACAGGAAUAUUCUCUUUCGAGCGCCUGUUCUGAGAGACGAGAUACUUUCAUUGCACAGCUGAUUCUCAAGCCUAUUAUCCUAGUGUCCUGAUCCGGAUUGACUUCUCUCUACCCUACUUAGGUAUUGGUAUUUCUCCUGAUUGAUUUCCUUCUCUCUACCCUACUUAGGUAUUGGUAUUUCUCCUGAUUGAUUUCCUUCUCUAACGCCCACUUAUGAUUCCCUCCUUGACAACUUUAGCACCCGAACUCUAGGCCAAGGUCAAUCCAAUAACUUAUUAUUCAUGAUAUGAUUCUCGUCGCCAACAAAGAGAUAUCACACUGCGGAUUCUUAUCUCUUACUCCGGCCGGGUACUGCUACAGGUAAAGCUUAAGAUCGAGUAUACUUUCUUGGCACUCAAAGAUAUGAGUAAUGAGUAAACCUUGCUAGUAAUGGAAAUGGAACUCCAAGGUCAUAAACUGAAGUAACUGAAUCAGUCUUGUUCCCCUCCAAAAGUCAUAGAAAGAAGUAACCAUCUCCAUAUGCUCUUUAUCGCCAACCCGGACUAGUGCUCUGUCCUCUUCACAUUCCAUUCUGAUAUUAGAUGCGGGGGCCAAGCGUAUACUAGUAAAGGAGUCCGGAGUAACUGAGCAAUAGGGUAAAGAUGUUAGGCAGAAAUGAACUAGAACAGAACUCAAGUAGUUUGAUGGCAAAUUACCUAUCAUCAGUUCUUACCCGUUCCAUAAAUGCAUUUGAAGCCUAUAUCUUAAGGGCAUUAAUAAAGGGCACAGGGUUAGUUCCUUCUUUUCUUCUAUUACUAAAUCUAUAAGACCUAGCUCAUUCUGCUUUUGAAGAUCUGGAAACUGCUACUCUAAAUACGGAAUUGAACCUAACCUGAUAACGCCAAUCCAAUAUCUCCCGUUAGCGCAGAGGAAACUCAAUUACCAAAUUCCAAAUGAAGAAGAAACCAACUCCAUUCUUAAAGGAAGGUGGGUUAAGAGCCCAUGGUGGGUGACCCUCUUCUCUUCUAUCAUACCUCUUGCGGGGAACAAUAAUGAUAUAGUAUACUAUCUUUCAACGUCCUUAGUCCUAAGACUGCUGACUUUCUUUCGCCAACACCAGACUUGAGAACUGCAUCUGUUCCUACUUAUGCUGCUGACUAACUGGAUACUAAUGAUGAUUUGGUCGACUCCACUCCUGACUCCCCAAUAGAAUCUAGUAACUCCAUUCCGGACUCCCCAAUAGAAGAUUACCCACUUGCUGUUUCACCAACACCAAGAUACCGAACUGCUGAUUCUGUUGUCGAUGUAGACUUUCCCGGCACUGCUUACGAUUCAACAUCAAACUCAACUUUCUACUUGCCCUCGUCCUGAACUUAACGCUGCUUUCCAGGCUGAUUGAGAGCUAAAGUAUAUAACAGAGGCAUAUUACCGAGAUCUAUACUAAACUACCUUAUCCUCUGAUUCCACUUUCCUUUCGUAACUCGCGUUAGCGCACUAACCUGUAUCAUUGCCCGGCGCACAAGGACUUUAGGUCUACCCUUACUUUGAUUGCUUCCUUACUUGACUUUAGGUCUACCCUUCCUUUGAUUGCUUCCUUACCAGGACUUGGUUAUAAGAAGUUGAAAACAUUCCCCACGAAACUCAUUCUUUAUCUUAUCGGUCGACCACACCUCGCUGACUUUCACUUCUGUUAUUGAUCUGUUAAUGAAAUUCGAACUAUUAUACUACUUGCUUAUACUUAUUACUAUUAUACUACUUUCUUAUACUACUUAACAGCUUCCCAAAAGCUUCUUUCUCUCUUAAGGCCGGCAUCUAGCUUCACUUCAUUCUAAGGUCAUAGGGCGCAGUUCCAGAAUCUGCUUAUAGUAGUGCACAUCAUCUUCUAUGAGGAAGUAACCAAACACUGGAAACUAAGUAACCAAACACUAGAAACUAACGAAACUCAAAACUAUGUUCACGUAAGCCGAUGACAAACACUCUGGUAGCGCCGUAACAAAACCAGAAUGGAUUGAACCAACUUAUGUUAGCGACGAGAGUGGAGGCAAUAACACUUCUUUUCUUUAAGCUGAUGCUUUAGUUGCGCGAGGUAGAGUUCGGAUAGCCCCUACAGAAUUCCACUGGAAUGUCAGAAACAGCAGAAUUAGCCUAGCCAGGCAGAGGGGCGGGGCAAUCAAUAGUCUAGGCACCAUAGCGAGUAGCCAGAGGGCCCUUAUAUCAAAGUGGAACAGGACAGCUAAAUCCAACUUUCCUAGGGAAUUCUUAGAGCUAGAGCACCAACAAAGACUGACUUGCCCCCCAAGAGUAUAUAGUGUAGUUGACUUUCCUCGCAACAAAGCCGACCUACCCUUGAAGUUCAGAAUUGAUACCAUCUUUGUAUCCUCUGGUUUUCAUCGAAUCUAUAGGCUUCUACUCCCUUGGAAUCUACAGCUUAUAGUAAAGGCUCUGCUCUACCAGGGCCGCUAGUCAAUUGAAUGGAACAAGCCUUUUCCUGUUCCUGCUCGGGAAAGCACCCUUCUGGAUUGAUUUCUUUAUAAAUAAUAAUAAUAAGAUUCCUUUAGCCCGAGAUACCCGCGAGAGUUGCUUGGUCGUUAGCAGUUACUUGGCGCAUGUCUUGUCGGUGUGAAAGCCUAAUCCUCAAAAGAAGGGAAAACUCCCCCUUAUACAGUAAUAGGAGCUAGAUCUAUCCCUUACUUAUUUACCGAUACCUCGGAAGUCUUGACCUGGACCUUGAACUUCACCCUCUCUAUACUCUAAGUCAGCUACUGAAUGAAAGAAUUCCACUGGCACAGCUUCUUCUUUAGUAGACCUAACUGGCACAGCUUCUCAAUAGGAUUCAACUCACACUCGAGCAGUACUACUGGUCUUCCACUCUGCAACUAGAGUAUAGUCUAUUUCCAUUCUUCCUUUCGAGCAUACCCUUCCUUAUUAAUAAGGCCGCUUUCAAGACUAAGCUAACGGAGCAAGAGCGAGAGGCGAGGGCAGCUUUCUAGAUGCCUGGAGUAUCGGGUGCUUGUAGUAGUUACUUGGCCCCUUGUUUCAUCAAAGCUGGCAAAAGUCAACUCUAUUCUUAUUAUAUGGAAGUAACCCACUACUCUUGCAACAACAGUUGGACCUGUAGGGAGGGAUAGGAAUGGAACUUGCACCGAGGCAAACUGCACUGGAAUCCUUCUUUUGAGCGCCUCCCGGCUAACGCUACACAUUAUUGGAAUUCUUUGUUUACUUCAGAUCAAUUAAUUAGAACCCCCAAGUCGAAGUGCCCGUUGAGCGUACUCCGAUGAAAAACUCCUUAUUUGGGAUCUAGCUCAUGAUAUCGAUGAAGUGAAUCUAUCGCUCAGAAGAUGGUGUUGUGAGCCAUUAGCUAUGGUUCCGAAAAGAAAAAGGAAUUCGCUCCGGUGAAUAGGAGCUCCCAUUUCCUCUUGUAAAAAUAGACCACUCAUCCACAUCCUGUUAAUCCUAUGGAAGGAACCCAGGGUUCGAAUCCUACUAAGCAACGCCGGGACAAGAUCUUUGUUUCAGCAGAACAGAUUUAAGCUAGUGUAGUGGGACUCUAGUUUCCGUUUGGCGACUCGGAAUAAAGGUUGCUUUAGUAAAGUCUGGCAUAAGUACCAAAUAGCUUCUUAACCUAGUGGGGAAUCUGCUUCAAUUGAGCAACUUAACUCGUUGUCUCAGCCCUUCUUCGUAUUCUGUUUAUAUUCUAUUUGAUAGAACACCCCUUAGCCUAUUCUUCGGAAUCUCGAAACUCCGAACUUCUUUGUCGAGCUAGGAACCGAACCCACUUGACUGGUAAGAUAUCUCUUCCUUUUCGAACUUCACUAUAAGCUAUCAGCUGCGCUUUUCGCUCCUAUCUAAAUCGUUGUCUAAAAACCUUGGCUUGGCUCUGAAGAUCCUUCAUCUUUGCCUAGUCAUCUUCGUCGAGUAGCGUAGCACCUCUGCUUGCUAAGAGUUGAUUUCCUACUGAGGUAAAGAAUACAAAGAGUGGAACUCGGUCAUUCAUAUACCCUCAGCUCCAAUUCCGCCUCUACAUUAAACUCACCUCCUUCUAUCUUUAUUAUGUGAAACUAACCCACCUCCUUCUAUCUUUAUUAUGGAGACAGCUAGGAGAAAGAAGAGUAUAACCCAACCCCUUUAUCUCCUAGAACACUGCAUUUCUACCUAGUCAUACAUAAGCCCAUCAAUCAGUACGUAGGAUCCGCGGCCAAAGGGAAUCUUUAGGGUGUGAAUGGUAAUAAGUAGCUCUAUCAACAACUUCCCCAAACAAGGGUACAUCUUAAUAAGACAAAUUGGCUCUUCAGGGUGUCAACGCAAGAAACAAAUCCUUUUUCUUCUCGAACCUUAGGGUACCAAUCCAUCCAAUGAAAAAAAGGAUAUCCUCUGAAAGAAUUGGCCCCAUCGGUAUUCGGUAUACUAUAUAAACUACAAAACGUUUGGGGUAUUAUGUAUAUAAGGGAUCCCUAAGUUGCCGUUAAGCAAGCUUGAUUUCCAGUGGUGAGCUAAAUCAGUCCAAACCCUGUCAAGGCAGAAUAAAGAUUCCAAAAAGGCUGUUUAAUGAGCUAGGUUUCGCAGGCCCUGGGAACUGCUCUACAUUAGGUGUUUAAGCUGGGUUCUUCAAAGCUUGUGACUUCAAGAGCCAUUCACACUGUUUAGGAAUAGGGUUCAUUCUCUAGGCUAUCCGACAACGGGUCUAUUGCUCCUAACUAGCUAGGUUUGGGCAACGAUGAAGAGAAUCAAAGAAAUGUUACUAUUCCGGUAAAUCAAAGAAAUGUUGUAUCAAGUAUUGGCCUUGGUUUGGGAUUAUUUAGAAUAUUCCAUCUAUGGGGAACGGAGGCCCAGCCCACUCUUAAAGAUAUAAGAAAUUGCUAUAAGAUGUGUGAAUGAACAGAAAAGUAUUGAAAGAUGUGGAGAUAGAAUGGAUGCCCUUUGACUAUUGGUGUUAGGGACCCAGAUACUUCGCUACUUUAGAACCCAAUAAAUUCCCUAUAGCUGGAUAUAAGAUUGCUUGAAUCACUCUCGUAUACGCAUAUAUAAGUUAAUCUCAAUCCGUGUUCUAAUCCAUGUCAAAUUGAGAAAUAGCUAUCCAUCUUUAGCAAAAAGCCAAAUCAUUGAAAUCCUUUUCUGUAAAUUGACCAAACACCUGGAUAUUGUUCGGCAAUAGCUUUUGAAGCACAAUACUUAUUCCAAUGGUAUUUAAGUAUGGGCGGGAGUUUCACCUGAUGUGGGUCGAGAUGAAAGGAAGAGGAUUCGGGCGACUCAUAGGCAUUUCCUCCCAUACAUUUCAUCCCAAACACCCGCUAGAGAAGGAUAGGUUUGCGAAGGGCCAAGACGGUGGAUUUGGAAGUAUUUAUUUAGGGUAAAUCCAAUCCUUAAGGAAAGGACCCAUUCUGGUUUUGUUAUUGCUCAGUCCUAAUACGAUUAUUACUGAUUCACUUACAUUAGCCUCCGGACAGGCUCAUGCAGUAAUCCUUGUCGCAAUAAUUGUUUGAAAUUGAAAUAAUCAGAAAGAUCAGAUAGCCUACCUACGAUGUAUUCUGUAUUUAUAGAAGAGAAUUGUGGAUUGACUUGAUUCGUGGCUCGUCUCAAGACCCCGGCCCCGGAUCUAUCAAUAGCGAGUUGGAAGCAAUCGAUUGAAAACUAACUGUCAGCUAACUGCCUACCCAAUCCAAAGUAACUGGAUGCAAGGAAUAAUGAAACUACUAGAUAUUUGACCCACUAACUUAGAUAUUUGACCUACUAACUGUCUUAAGUGAACCGGAACUUGCUGGAAUCAAACUAACUAGACCCUAUUUGCUCGCCGCUCUGCUUUUCUUUUUCCGUGGAUCCUGACUGAAAGCUCAAAUUGAUGAUUAAUUGAAGCUUCUAAGCCUCCCAACACAAAACAAGGCUUUCUUUCUAGGGCAUAUAGACAACUUGGGAUAACCUAAUCAUAGCCGUCUUUGACUUUCAAAGCCUUUCACCGAGUUUGGGAUCAAUCCUCAAUUCCAUUCCCUUCUUUUUAUGAUCUUACAUAAGCUUAUUUAGUCGGCGGGUAGACAUAUCAAAAAAGCUCCAAAUCAUUCCUAAGGUCCGGUACUUUACUGCUUAGCUUUUGAGUAAAUGCGUAGCUCUGAACUCAUGGUCUUGGUCUUUCUUUCGGAGGUAGUGAAUCCUAUAAGUCAUUCAGCGGCUAACAAAACAAUCAUUUGCUGUCUCCAUCCAAGUAGCAUCUUCUCCAUAUUCAAUCCCAACUUUGUGAAUCGAGGGAAAUUUCGGAGAAUUGAUUCUUCACCUAUAGUAUUGCCAGCCUUAUGUCCAGAUGGGGUUCCCAUGACCAGACGGCGCAACAACUAUCACUCGUCUUACUACCUUGCAACAUAUAGAGACUUGCAACAUAUAGAGACUUUUGCAAGGCUUACUAUCAGCGCUAUACUUACUUGACUUAGACUCUCACCGUUUGCUUGUCUUGUGAACAAAGACGCUUCGUAAAGAAGUCAUUCCAUUCCUUAUCUAAGACGUUUGCCUGCUAAGAGAGACAAAUAAGGUCAUAUAUUACUCCUGGGUUUAGAGAAUCAAAAGGAGCGAGCACUUGAUAUAUAAUAAGAAGACAUUACGACUGCUUUUACUGCUGACUCAACAAGCUUCUAAUUCUUUACCUGACUUAUUAAGAUACUGAUCCGGACUUUGAAUCUACUGGUACUAGUAUUGGUGGAUCUGGCUCUAAUAGCGGACUUUCUAACUACACUUUCCUUGCUUUGCUGCUCACUUUAGCACUCAUGAAGAACCGCUUGCUCUUGACUUUCUUUCUAAAGAUAUAGCUUCUUUACCUGAUCCCCAGCAGUCUUUCCUCAGCUUUUGAUCCUUAUAAAGCAGAAACACCUGCAUUUUGUAGAGUCCUUUUUCCCUUGAGACAAUACCGAAAGACGAAAUUCAUGCUUGCUUGCCCUAUAGGUGAAGUACGUUAAUAAAAGGUAAUAAAGGCUUAUAGUAAGGUAAUAAAGGCUAUGGGUGUAACAGUUUCCAAAGUGGAUCUCGCCAUCAAUCGGUGCAAGAGACUACGCAAGUGAUAGAUAACCAGAAGCAGUUGAAAGAGCUGUAGUAUCAUUCCGCGGGAAAGAAAACAGUGGAUGUAGGGUAUGUUGUUCAAGCAGGGUUUUGUGCAUAAUAAAGUCCUGGCCGGUGUUAGGCUGCAAGCGGGAGGGAACCGGCAAAGAUGUUUCAAAUGUUGUAGAAUAGCAGAUAGAGCCACUAAAUGACCGAUUAGCUAUAAGAUGAGGUGAACAUGGCCUAAACUUUGCAAAAGGGCAACAUUAGUAGCCGGCAGGCUGCCGCUCCUUGGUUAAAACCUAUAACUCCUGGCAACAAGACUAGAGUUGCUACUGGAGGGACUGAACCAUUGCGCUAAGAGGCCUUUUACUGGGCACUCGGGCUUACUGUCCUGUCCUGUCUAGCAUUCCCAAACUGCAAUAACUUAGGUAUACCAACAACUGCCUCGCUUUCUUUUUUUAACAAGUGAGUCUUCCCUUCCUUGAUCCGACUCUAACUAUCUUUGCUUUCGUGCUGUAUCUUCUGAUCGGGAUCUUUUAUCUUAUUAAUAAGCAAUUGGACCUAUACUGGUGAGAAUGAAGACAGGGCUCAUAAGACCGGAACUCGGGUAUACAUAGAAUAAUAGUCGGAUAUUGCUUUAUCUCAAACUGAUGCUAAUGCCAACAAUACACACAUAUCUUUGCGACGCUUAGUUGGGUUCGGCUAGUGCUUCCUUUCCUCUCUAUACUACUUUACCGUAAACGACUCUCUUAUACUUUCCCGUAAACUACUCCCUUUGUUUAGGCAAUAAUCAUUCCAUUCAUUUCCUCUUUCCACUUAUAUAAGCUACAGGUCAACUCGUAUUGUUUCAUUUUACUGACACACAUGUAGAAUACAGUAACCAAACUGUGCUUAGCUAGCAACAAGUAAUGGAACAAGCCUUUACGCGUUAGCAAGUUACCCUAGGGUGGGGGCCUUAGCGCUUUCAUCAUGGAAUCUAGCCUUCCUAAUUCGACUCCUUCAUCAUAUCCAGCUUCCAAUCCUGCUUGACUCACCUGCAUAAGAUUGAGAUCCCACUUAUUAUCUAUAUCUGUCUUUACAUUUCUACUUCUACUUCGUUGCUUGUCGGCGGCUACGUUGCUUGGCGGGAGCUGACUUUAGUAGACAACACCGCUUCGCUUAUUCUAUCUACACUCGAACAGAACUCACUUAAAGGCUUUCUAAACGGGCAACUUACAGAUCUUAUCCCUAUAUUUCUUUUGCACUCACAUUCCAUUCUUCUUGAGUUCUGGGGUGCAGGGCAAUAAGUGGUAGAGUGAGCUUACUGUGCUUCUUUAUAAGCUAGAGAAAAUCAAUGGUUUACUGGCCUGGCCCUACUAGCCCUACAGCUCGAAGUUAAGUAGAAAGUUGAGAUCUGGUUGGUCAACCCCUUGUUACCGGCUCUAAUCUAAGUGCUUUGUUUUGUUACUAAUUAAUUAGUCAUAGGCAUAUUCCAUGAAAUAACUAAUAGAGAGGCAUAUUUUAUGAAAUAAGUAAUAGAGGUAUACUCCAUCAAACAUCAAAUAAGUAAGAAGAAGCAAGUGAACUUAACCAGACAGAUUAUAGGCGUCAAUGAAUUAGUUGGACAGUAGGAGAGGAUAGGUAAGAAGCCUCAUAUAGUACUCUGGCUUUGAAACAUAACCAAGUCCUGUGUUUGUUGAAGCUGAAGCGUUAAGUCAUGCCAGGCCCAGACUCAGUAGCUAAAGGAAAAGUGGAAGAAUUAUUUGUUGUUUGACGAGGUGCUCGAAAGAUCCAAUUAGGGUUUUGAUCAUUGCUUCACACAAGCACUUAAGCCUACCCGAGCCUCAAAGCCUGUACUCUCCGGAACUACCCACACCCUAACAAGCAAGUCAGUAAACGACACUAGCUACUUUACCCGGUCUUCCACUAAGGUAUUCGAAUUCUCUACAAGGGACAGGCGCAGGGCAUACUGAGUUACGGGCAGACAUCCUAUACUAUCUUACAGGCAAGGAAGCACUAACAGGAGCAAGAGGCGAGCCAAGCUACUACUAGUCCAAAAUGAAUGAUUUAGAAUCUUUAGCUGUUUCUUAGAAGAGAAGUAUUUCCCAUUUCACUAAGAAGCUGGCCUUAUAAUGCAAUAAGUCAUUUCUGCCUAACAUAUUUAUGGUUCCUUCUAGCUUUCACGAUACCCUUACUCUUUUCUUUCGACAACACCGUCUACAAAUACAUAGGAAACUGGAGCACUACUUGUUGGGGCAAGAACUCCACUGGAAUAGCUUACCUUCCCUAUCUAUCCUCUGGACUAGAGCAUCUCAUCUACCUAUGGCAACUACUACUGAUGAACCAGGAAACUUACUAUGAGGGCCACUACAAAUACUGAAUUUCACUACCACUGGGGAGGCUUGGUUCAUCCUUUGAACUAGCUUCUUUACUGGCUCAAGAACAACGGAAAGAGACUUGCACUUCUAUAUCCUUAUAUAUACAAGCUUUGGAAUCUCUAACACCCAGCUACGAGCUACGUAAGCAAAGCAACUAAUACUUCCUCGCCUCUGGACUAGAGCAUCUCUUAUACCGGAAUUCGUACUUACUACUUGCCCUCGACUAUACCCAUCUUCUUGCUCUGAAAACAAUAACUCUUCUCUUUUUUCCCUUCCCUACCUCGACUCUGGCUAACCUUACCUGGCAAACUGGAAUUAUUACUUUCUAGUUUAGAGCGUAGUGACCCUCUUCUACAGGAGCUCUUCCCACCUCUAUCUGACUUGCCGACCUAGACCUUACUUUAGCCUCUUCUUCUAGAACUCCCCUUUCUGACCCGAACUAAGUUAGAGAUUACUUGACUAGCUUCCUCUCCUCUGGCUCCGGCUACUAAUCUAACUCGACUCUAAGUUCAGAACAACUUCUAGCCUACCUCCCCUAUGACUACAAUAACUAUCCUAUGAUCUUGCUCUUGAAACUCACCACUCGAACAGGACUACUGGUGCCUAGUAGGGGUGAACCCAAAGCUAAGAAUCGAGCUAAGUAGUCAAAGAAUUGGUUGACUUACCGCAAUGCUCAUCUCAUAUAAGAAUCAGUCUUACCAGACACCGCUCUUCAGUCUGUUCCUCACUGGGUUCAUUCUGGUUGUCAGGUGUCUGAGUCUCGCUACCCGUGCUUUCAGGUUUGCACUCCUAGGUUUGGUUCUUAGAUGCACUGAUUGAAGCCUGAGCGGAUCUAGUUCCAUUUUGUAACUCCUUUGCUUGGUUCUUAGUAGCAGUGGUGUCAGUCUUGUUAGCACCGUAUUAAGUCUUAGAUGCAAUAAUAUCGGGCUUGGAAGCGGUGUUUUAAGGCUUGCUGGCACUGGCUUGAGUCUUUAACUACCUCGUUUAAGUCUGAGAUGCACCGGUGGGAGGCUUGGAAGCACUACUUUGAUUCCUGGAUCCACUGCUUUGGUUCUGUCACUCCUUAGGCACAUUCUCAGUCUACCUGGUUUCAUUCUGAUAUCGACUACUGAGCUGCUUUCUCAUCAUACUCUGGCUCUUCUCGAUUACUUAGUUAUUAUAUAUGGGCUCUCCUCUAUCUCUGGCAACAAAUACAGAAUUCCACCCUAAUGAAACAUAUACAAAGAAGUAGGGACAGACAACACCGACCCGUUGGAUUAGUGGAUUUGAGUCCGUUGCCUAUUGCCUAUCAACCAAAUACGGAUGAACUUCCCGGGCUGUGCUAUCUGAACUCAACUCUAUACUUCCCGCUGAAAAGCAAGUACUUGAUUCUGCUUUAGGGGCCGACCCAGACAUUCCUACUAGAACUGAAAGGGGACUGCCACGUAACACGAACAAAGGAACGAAAACAGGACUACCUGGCCUGGCAUCUCCUUCUGACGGAACUGCUUCCCACUAAAGUGAUUGCUCUGGACUACUCACUCUGGAUGUCCCUAUUAAUACUAAGAAUAGGGGCUAAUACUUAGAAUACAAAUACAGGUCUUCUACUCCUGAUAUCCCUUACCAAGUAGUAAACAAAGAAUGCAACUAGACACUCUAAACUCAACUUGAAACUUCACCUCGACCUACACUUUCUUAUGCUCCUCCACCUCCAUAAGUUAUCCAGUUAGGAGUUAGCGGUAUCAAAUUCCAUAAAGGAGUUAGGGGUUCAAAUACAAUACCGGUACCAGAGUUAUGAGUAAGGAGUGCGAUAUGUGUUAUAGGAGUUAGAAUACCAAUACAGAGGAGUCCUGAGUUAUGAGUUAUAUAUCAAAUAAGGUAUGGUACCUGAGUUAGGAGUUAAAUACGAUACCUGAGUUAGAUGCGCCGGGAGUUAGAGUGGAAUACCGGGUAGUCCAGCCCUUAUGUUAAUGGUUCUAGUUUGUGGAGUUAGAGUUUCAUCCCCAGUUGCAUAUCCAUCAUCUGUGUUUGUAGUAUACGCUUGGCCUGGAUAAUUGCCUGUUCCAGGUCUAGGUUAAGUAGAAAGUGGAGUUAUUGCCCCAACUAGUAGUAGAGUAAUAGAAUCAGUAUUAGCAGCAAUCGGGUAAGAAUUGAAAGGAUAGGUUUGGUCGGGUGUUCAAGGUGUCGGCUAGCAAGUUUCGGUAAGAGAAAGGCGUCUGAAGAUCGGUUAUUGCAUAGGUAGUGAAUUGUCUUCCGACCCCUCUCAUUCAAAAAGAAGUGUAGCCACUAAUUAGAGCUCCCUUAAGGCAGCGCGAUCCCAUUGGCUUUUAGGGUGAGGGACGAGCUUAAGACCUUUACUGGCCUUUUAAGAAGGAAGAGAAACAAACCAGUAUGUGAUGCCCCUUACACAUCGCAGUAAGGAGGAUCUGGCUAAACCUCUCUCAAAAGUCUCCAAGGCAAAGGUAGUCUAAAGCUAAAGCAUUCUCCUAGCGACCUACACUUUCUUUCCGGCUAACUACAACAUUACUAUGGAUUUUCUCGGCCCUACUUUCACCAAACUGUGCUUCCAAUCAAUUUCGAUAAGCUAAUCUACUUUCCAUAUUCUUCCCCCUCUGCAUCGAUGGGUUUUCCACUCGAGAUGGGUUUUUUAGAGAUAGGAGAAUUCCCAGACUGAAUGAAAAAAAGGGGGGUAGCUGAACCGGUGGCUUCCGAAGCGAAGCGUGUUGGCAAGACGUGCGAUCUAUUUGCAGCACGGGCAUAGUUUCAUUCUCCUUGUUGGGAAUCUCAGUCGCGAAGUAUAAGGUGGAAUAUUGGAUCCUGAAUGAUGAGGAGAAGCGCAUAUAGUAAGCGGUGAAGAGAAGCGCGCCAUAUAGUAAGCAAUCCGAAGAAAAGAAGAGAGUCGAUCGCUCUAACCGAAGAUGAUCGAGUAGGCAAAGUGAACUAAGGCUGAACUAAGUGCUUUUCCUUCAUUUCUUUUCUCGCGUCAACGUUCACCACUUCUUUUGGUGUAAGCAAGGCCUUAGUCUUCUCCGCUAAGUGCUUUCGCUUCUGUUCAUGCCUUUGAUGAGGCCCACCCGGCUCGAAGUCCGUGACCUAGAAAUUCGAUGCUGUGCACUAUUGCCAUAUCCUGGCUACCCGGGCCUUCACCUAGUACCGAGGGUGGAAAGCAGGCUGUCAAAAGAGAGAACUAGGUUGUAAGAAAGAAAGCUUAGUGCAGCGCCAAGUGCCUCGCUAGUGGAGCUAUAGGCGCUAAAGAAGCGGAUAAGGAAUCAGUUUCUUUAGUCAAAGAGUGAGAACUCCCUAACGGAGCUCAAUCUUCUUUUCGAUUCGACGAAAUGAACCGUAAGCCUUCUAGCCCCUUGUUCUUGAAUAUAGUUAGUUCUCUGUAACUAAUCUGGGUUGGAUUAAUAGGAUAGGAAUUCGGGGACUUGAUUCUUAAUUCGCAAGAGCUCCAUUCUAUACUAUUGUUUGAAAGAAUAGAAUAUUGUAUUGGGUUUUCAACGCUACUCCACUUCUUUUUGUCGAAAUGUAAAAGCUGCACAGGAUAGGGAGGCCGCCCCGUCCUCAAAGGAAAAGCAUGGAGAUCCACUCGAUUAUGGAAUGGUGUUAUGUUUUAUCGCUCAAUAAGGAGUACCUUUGUAUAUAUAAAUGUUUUGCUAAAGUGGUUGGUUCUUUUUAAGGCGGAAAGCAAGUCGAGACAAGAAGCACUGUCUCAGAAGCUAGCCCGAGCUACUGUAAUCCUUUGAUUUGAUAUGUAUGAGUGUACUGGUCCGGUGUUUCUGAAAAAAGAGAUGGAUGGGUUUUUUGGUGGCUGCGGUAGCCUUAACCAUCUGCACAGCUUUCCUCAUACUUCAAACAUUAAGGCAGAGAGAGUGAGUUUAGGAUAUAGUUUCAGAGAAAAGCGAGAGUGGAUGGAUAGGCAUAAUCAGAGGCAAGAGCUCUUCAGUAAUAAAAUCCGGGUGAGCGCACACAGCACAACUCCCCUUUUGGAUCAUUUCAGACUAGGCCAUAUAUUCAUUGAAAGGCAAAGCUAGACCAUGCAUUAUUGUUAGGGUAAAGAACCUGCGCCGACACUAAUCGCCCUAUACUUGCUACGCCUGCUUCGCUACUGAGAUCCCUAAACCAACCAACCGAGUUUGGUCUUGCUAUCACUUUUGAGGUUUCGAGACUUUAUCGCGUAUAGACGUUAUGCGCUUUCCCGCUCGACUCGCACAUAUCGAUUUACGUCCUAUUUCUUUUAUCCCUGCUGGCUCGAACUACUUUAGGAUUCCCUGUGCCCCUACUUUACAAGCACUUUAGGAUUCCCUGUGCCCCUACUUCACUUAAUAAGUCGUUUACGGAUUUCAAGAUACACAAGGAAGCGGAUCUACCUGCACGUCCGAAAGGAACCAAGAUCAAAAGAUGCGUCAUCGAGACCUGAAGACACCCGAGGAACGACUAUUCAAGACCACGCAGACCGACCUUUUGUUAGAGAAGAAGAGAGAGGCACGCUAGUGACAAGUAUCCCCACAGCAGCAACCUCUGAUCAAUCCGGGAAAGCGUCGCCCCUAGGGUUGGUGCGUGCUACACAGACUAGGAUAGUUACCGUAGCGAGCCGGCUAGACCGCACAGCUCCAAGCAAGUGGAUAACAGACGAGAGAUAUUGUCCUAACCCUGUUACCAGCCUUGUCCGUUUUAUGGUAGAGUUGUAUACCAAGAACGAAACCAAUCUCCAGCCAAGCAACGUAGUUAGACCAAGUCACUUAAUAAUUAGAAUAAUAAGAUCAAGAUGAGAAAGAGCCAAGCAACGUAAACAAAGGAAGAAAAGCAGACAAUAGAAUUCCACACUACUCUAUUCUUUUCCACACUACUCUAUUAUUCGACUUAUAUACUUACUGACUCAAAAUAGUAAAGGAGAGUUUCUAGUAUCUGUAUAAGAUGAAACUCCUAACAGAGAGCCAGCAGCUUGUUGAAAGAAGCCGAACACUCGCGGAUGAAACAAGGGUCGAUUACAUUGAGCUAUAACUGAAAGAGGAGACUAGGAUGAAACUAGGGAGAAAACAGGAAGAGCCGCAUAAGGUAGAGAAUUCCACUCCCGAACACAGGAGCAGACCCACUUUCCUACUCGCUCACCUCGCCUACGAGCUCACCUGGCGCAACUCUAACAUCAAUUUCAUCUUUUACUCAUUCACACCUCGUUUCAAACUUAUCGGCAUCCCGAGUGGAAUCUGUGUUUGUUGCUUUUGUCUAUAAGUAAUCAAGGAGAGUUUCGACAAUCAAAUCUUCUGCUUUGGCUUCUUCGUUCGAUAGAUUCAAUGUAAGUAUUUGUUGACUUCAGAUCCACUGUAAAGGCUUACACCCGUAGCUCGCGAGUUGCGUUAGGGCGUAGCUUGUUCCCUUUCUUGUUGCAUUCAUAUAAUCUAGCUUUACUCAUAUUAUAAUCUAGCUUGACUCAUAUAGAAUUAUGUAAACUCACUGGAUUGCUUCCGUAGCUUUUUCCCUUUCUUGUUCCGCAGCUUAUUCACUGUAAACUAUUCACUUACUACUAUCUAAAUAUAAGAUAUAUAUACUUGAGUAACCAUACUUCUGACUCCCAUAAGCGUUAGCGCCCCAUAAGAAAAGGGUACCUAGCGCCAGGUGCUCGAGUAAGAUCAGAAUGGAAUGUUAGAUGCUCCACUACUGAAGUCAUUACCAAGUCCUGUGUUUGGAAACUCAUAAUAUCUUUAUAGAAGAGAGUAAUUCAACCUACUCUCCAUCUGUGAUGAAACCGACUCUCCUGUACAAUCGACCCGGGUUAAGUGAAGGGCGGAAUGUAUUACUGGCAAAGAAGGGUAGCGCGGCGGUACACUUAAAUCUUGAUAGCCCAACUCAAUAAGCGGUCUACCUCAGUAUUGUUCCAGAAGCCGAAUGCAAGUAAACGGUGCACUUUUUCAUUGUUCUAUCGCCUAUAAUGUCAUUUGCCUAUUAUGUCUUGAACCUUACAACUGGCUCCGUUCUAUCUAUUACUGCUAAUGCUGCUGAUGCUUACUCUGUUGUGCUUGUUGAGUCAGUUAGCUUGAGCUUCAAGUCAGGAGUCAGUUAUGAGUCAGUUACUAGACCACCGAUUGCCCGAUAGAAGUCACUUUCCACUGAUUCCCUGUGCCUAGGUAUAAGACUCGGAAUUGCACUCAUAAGUCACAGCCUUGGUAUCAAUAGGUAUGGUCGGACUGAUCUGUUAGGUACGAGGUCAUAGGUGUAUAGGUAUGGGAGAGUAUCUAGUAUAACCCAUGUGUCUAGUUUAGGGGUAGGUUCGGGUGGUGAAGCGAGUAGUUAAAUAAAAGAAAUGGGAAGAUCUGAGAAAAACAAUCACUGAGAAAGAACAGCCAAGACACUACUCAUGUGUCGCGGCAGAGUUGCUAGUUUCCAGAAAAGUAGUUCGAAAUUACUACCCUUUUCCAGUACUCACUCAGUAUACAAACAGUAACAAAAAAGCACUAUCCAAAUCUAUCUUCUUUAUAUAGGAUGACUGCUCCUCAGCCUGAAACAAGGUAGUCAAAGAACCAAACAAGUGAAAAAGAAGCAGUUCUCAAGGUUAGGGUUAGGGUGAUUCCGAGUGUCGGCGUUGCGGGCAGGGAAGAAAUCAAUCCAUUGUUGCUAAUGUUGCUAGGGGAAUAAAACGACUGUUGCUAAGGUUUCUCCCUACUACUGGCUUGUUGAAGUCAGUUACUAGACCACCGAUUACCCCAGUAGUGAAUUACAGAGUGAAACCAGUGCAUCACAGAAUCAAACCACCAGGGCCCCUAACUCGCUACCGUUUAGCUCGGGCUCCUACCGCUGAAAACAUAGACUGUAAUAACUUCGUUAUGACUAUUAUUGGGCUGCCGCUACACAUUUGUAGUUACUUGGCCAGGUCAUCAAGGGGAGUUCAAGAAUCCGUUGUCAGAGUUUCAUCCCAUCCCGGUAGUCCAGGUAGUCCCGGUGAAAAGAAAUGAGAAAAUGAAAAUAAACCAGGUGAAAAGAAAUGAGAAAUCACAAAUAAACCAGGUGAAAAGAAAUGAUCAAAUGAAGCCAAGUAACUACUAAUGUGUAGCGGCAGUAACGAACACUAAUGUCUUCAAAGCAAGUACUUGAUUCUGAAACUGACUAGAAGGGCCUACCUCGAAUAAGUGUUAACCCCGACCCGAACUCUACCUGUUGAACCGCGUGAAUCCCGGUCGCCAACUCAUUCCCUUAUGGCUUCAAAGCAAGUACUUUAUGAUUCCACAAUAACUCUCCGGGCCAAGUAAGUACUAACCUAUCUUGAUGCCGAUAUAAAUAAGCCUUCUUGCCUUAUCUGUUAGGUACUCCAAUAGGUACUUCGGUAUUCAAACGAAGCAUCUUAUUCCAAUUCAGGUAAUAGAAAUAGAAUAAUACAGAGAGGGGAGCCCCUAUAUAACAUAGAAUCAUAAAGAAUCCCCUAUAUAACAUAGAAGAAGAAAGCCCCUAUAUAACAUAGAAUCAUAAAGAAAAGGAUCCCCCAUGGACCUAGUAAUCAAUAACUUCAGCAUUAGAAUAGUCGUUUUUGUUUCUGAAAGUCCAAGAUUAGUGCCUGGUUUCCUUGUAAACUCAAGUACUGGCUUGGCUUGUACUAGUUUCUUGUUCCUCACAACACUGAAGAAUAGAGUGGAGUGUCCACCUCCUACCUAUAGAAUGGAGUAACCUAACAACCAACCCUUUCCCUAAAACACUUGCUCAUUGCUAUUACUAUUACUCUCAUUGCUAUUACUAUUCUCAUGGCUAUUACUAUUACAAUUAUCAUUACUAUUACUCUCAUUGCUAUUACUAUUCCAAUUAUAGUACUAAAUUAGAUAAUUGCCCGUAGCUUGUUCCUGCUAAUGUACCUUGUCCCUAAAACUACAGAAUUGAACCAACCCAUACAUCUAAUGUUUUCUUUACCGCGGACUUUCUUUCAGCUUCUUUAUAUCAUAUUCCUUCUAUAAACUUGAAUCACUCAUAUUGACACCUUGAUCUCGGCUCUUCCCUAGGGUUAUAUAUUGACACCUUGAUGUCAGCUCUUCGCCACCUAGGUAUUCUUUUCAAGUGAACAAACAAGCCUACAGAGUGUUCAAGUAUAAAGUAAGAGUAUCGAGUGUAAUAAAGAAGCGAGAGUUCAAGCAGGGCUCGGGUCUCUGGCGCAAAAGGAUCCUGAAAUGCAAGCCUCAUGUUCUCUGGCGCUAAAGGGGUAUACAAUGGUCUCUGGGAGUGGUCCAGACUUAUAUACGCGGAAGUCCAACUUUUGCACUGAAGCAAGUCUUGGUUUCGGCAGUUUUGGGGGCGUAGUGGAACAUAGGUCAGUAGACGCAAGGAGGUAUACAAUGGUUUCCGUUAAGGCAAGGUAGUUCCGUUAUGGGCUUUCCCUAUCCCUAAUAGUGCUUAGCUUAGCCGAGCGAGUCAAUCAAACUCUCAUUCAUGAAUGUGACUCUUCGAUUUCUAGUGGAGCGCAUAAGUCAGAAAGGAUUUAAGUGCGGAAGAUCUGAUUGCUUGUUAUGAUGCUAUCUAUCUGAGGAAUGCCCCAUAACCAUAACCUCUAAACUCAACUGGAAUUUGAAGACCCGACAACAAGGAAGACGGAUUGCAAUUCUUAGUACGAUGAAACUCGAACAGGAAACCGAGUAUGAAGUACAACGCGGGCUCAACCAACACCUAUCUUUCUCUAACUCGGGUCAACUCCUCUUUAUGGUCAACACUUGAAUCACUCAUUGCCUUUCUUUUACUUCCAGCCUACAAGGACUUUCCAAGGAGGAGAUUUUGCUUCUUUCUCUAUAGAAUCCAAUUCUCACCCAACUCUAAUAAACGCUUGCUUUGACUUAGCGCUUUAUACAGUUCCUUGAUACAACACCUCAGCAUGAGAAAAGAGAUGAUCUUCCUGAUUCUAUAUAGGAAUAGGAUGAAACUGGCGCCUCGUAUACAAAGACUUGAACUUCCGUGGACUCUACGGAUCUCGCUGCUGCACUUAUCAGAAAUACUUCCUUCAUACUCGUAUCUCUUUGCUUUCUCGAACUCCCUAUGAUCCGUGUGCUGUGCCUAAGUUAACUCCAUUCAAUUCAUUAGAGCGAGCAGUAAACAGUGAAGAGCCAGCAAUAACAGGUAAGGAAGCAAGGGAACAAGCAAACAGUGACAAACAUCUCCGUAUUAGUAGACUCGGGGCAAUAUUCGAUUAUUGCAUUCCUAUCUAGCACUAUAUUCCAUUUGGUAGUCAAAAAGUGGUCCAAGUCACUUUGUAGCACAGUCGACUCAGGUACUAUUUUCCCUCUUCCUCCCAAGAUCAAGGUCACAUAUACUUUUGGGUACCAAGGCACAUGACCGAAAUCCAGAGGUUUGGGUCUGCCCUUGUGCUCUUUCAAGCGUAGAAAGUCAGAAAGAGGUGUCUGGUCUAUCAGUCCACAUGUCGAUCGCAGAGCCCACAUUUCUAUGCUCCUUCCCUUCCUACUGGAGAUUAUUUGAUUUUAGCAAAGAGCGAAAAGAAAAGGGUGAAAUAAAAGGAUUAGACUAUUGAUUUCGAAAGGAUCCCACGGCUAACGAGAAUUCCGCCUUAUUUCCUUGAACCUCGAUUAUGGCCUUCUCAAGCGCACUCAAGUAUAGUAUGGUGCUUGUUACUUUGCUUUAAGAAUGGAAUGGAAAUCGAAUAGUAUAUAUAGAAUAGUGAGUAAACAACACUGCUAACCUUAUUAUUGCUUGAAUACACACCUCACACUUGUGGAACGAAGGCACCCCGACACCCCCAAGAGUAAGCUAACGCUUAAGUAACAUAGUGGAAAUUCAAGUAUACAAUAGGCUUCCUUAAUUACUAAUAUCGGUGCUGGUUGCUCUGAUUGAAGCUUGAGUUUGCUAGCUCGAUGAACUAAUUAAGACACACCUCUCGUUGGUAACUACACUCCCAUUACAGCAUGUUCUUGCGAAAGGGCUUGUUGAAAAGAAGAGAGCUAUCAGGGCUUGUUGAAAAGAAGAGAGCAUUCCACCACAUAUAGAUAUUGAGUCAAAAACGGAUGGGAUUACAAGAGAGUAGCAGGUUUGAGUUAAGCUUACGAGAGUUCUUUCCUUUCGCACCCCGCCUGAACACAAAUAGCGUUAGUGCCCCGAGAGUUAUAGGUGUUCUGUUACUAAUGACAGAAGUCAAUAAGAAUGACAGAAGUCAAUGAGAAAGAGAGAGAGCUUGGGGCAGAAUCCCGAUUAACGUAAGCUGCUUGAUAUGGCAUUCCUUGGUUAUGGGCGGGCGAGU
Molecule: long non-coding RNA, 79468 nt
Filed under: Musa acuminata (dwarf banana)
Lineage: Eukaryota; Viridiplantae; Streptophyta; Magnoliopsida; Zingiberales; Musaceae
Description: long non-coding RNA (MACU_LNC007473)
Source: RNAcentral